GUUUAUAUUGUACAGAAUUGGAUUCCUGUGUAUAAAAAAAAUAUAGCGUUCAUAUUCAUGUGUAUUGAAUUAAAUUUAUAGUAUUUUUUUCUGUUUUAUUAUUCAAAGUUAGGAAAAGGAUAGAAAUAUUCCAGAACGAGUUUAUUAAGUUUCCCCAAAAAAAGGAGUAAAAUAUUGUGUAGAAAUUAAAGAUGUUUAAUCAGAGGUAUUAUUUAUAAUUAAACAAUGAAAAAAUAAAUAAAAAUAAUACAGUCUAUUCAAUUUUAAAAUCACCGACUCUCAACUAAAUAACUAAACUUAUUUUAUCUAUUAAAAGGUAUUGUUAUCUCAUAAUUCAAGUGAAACCUUGGUUAAAAUUUGGAAACAUAUUCUAAAAUAUUUCUUAAAAAUAUCUAACUUUUAAAAAAAGUGUCAAGAUUGCAAAUAAUUGGAAGUUGUAAUAAUUAUAUUCCAUUUUUUUUUUUCAUUCCCUAAGGACCGCGCUCGCCGUUGUCUGCGGCAUCGCCUACUGCGACGCCAUCUCUACGGAUCCGGGUCGUGUCCCCGCCACCUAGAAGACGCGGAGAGCCCCAUCGACGAGAUUAAAAGCAAGGGCUGAGAUUCACGAUAUUGCCAAUAGUGUUGUCACUAUAAGCCUCCUCGUGCACAUGUUUGUAAAAUGGGCAAUUGCUUCUUGCACCAUAUCACCACCCAAUUUUAGUGGAAAAGACCCUUCAAUAAAUGGGUACAUAUAAAAAUACAUUCUGAAGCUCCUUUUUCGAAAUAUGUUUUGGAUUUUUUUUCCAUAAUUUUUUGUAUUACGGAUUUUUUUAUCUGAAACGUGAUUUUAAUUUUUGUUUUUAGAUUUUUAUUUUUGAAACAUAAUAAUCUUUUCUAGAUCUAUUUUUUCAGAAUAUAUUAUUUUCAGUUUUGAAAUUUCAUUUUCAGAAUGAAGGGCAUUUUCAAAAAUUUAAAACUGUGUUGGGUGUAGGUUAAAAAAGAUUGGGAGUAGGAAGCAAUUUCCUUGUAAAAGAUGUGUUUUCAUUAUUACUACCACAAGCCUUUGACAAUUGCUUCCGGCACCAUAUCACUGCACCCAAUUAUAUGGGAAAAGCUAAAAAUACUCUUAAAAAAAUGGGGUACAUAUAAAAUUACAUUUUGGAUCCUCUUUUCCGGAACGCAAUAAUCUCUUCCAAAUAAAUUUUUCUGGAAUGUAUUAUUUUUAAUUCUGAAUUUUUUUUAUCCGGAAUGGGAUUUUGUUUUUUUGUUUCCGGAUUUUUAUAUCCGGAACACAAUAAUCUCUUCCAGGUCUACUUUUCUGGAAUGCAUUAUUUUCAAUUCUGGAUUUUCAUUUCCGGAAUAAAGGGUAUUUUCAGAAUUUUAAAAUUGUGUUGAGUGCAAGUUCAAAAGUGUUGGGUGCAGGAAGCAAUUGCCCAAGCCUUUUGUUCUUUUAAAGGAACAAGGCCCAUUCAAUCGGCCUAAGUUUAUACUAGUUGCUUACACACCAUACAUUUUAGGAUAUUUCUUCCUACACCCCUACAUUCUUUGCAAUACCAAAAUUAUUCUUGAUAAUUUUGGAAGAUUAUGGAAUAAGGGUUCUGUAAGCGUUUCCAGAAUAGAGGUUCUAUAAGCAAAGUAUGUUUUCAUAAUAGAAAAUCCAGAAGACAAAAAACCAUUAUGGAACAUCUUUUCUGGAAUACAUUUUUUUAAUUUUCUGAAUGGUAAAUCAGAAAUUCAUAAAAUAUAUUCCAAAAAGUAUGUUCUGAAAAUAUUUCAGAAAGAGUAAUCAAGAAGUCAUUUUUUAAAUGCGUAAAAUGAUCUUUUCCAAGAAUGAUGGGGUGCAGGAAGUCCUUUGUUGGGGUGCAGGGAGAAACACCCUACAUUUUAUUGAAAAGACUGGGCUCAUUUUGGAUAACCUAGCCCUUGCACUAUUCCACACUCGUUCUUUAUAUCCUCACCCCUAGUCUUUUAAAAAACCUGGACCUAUUCAUUAGGCCUAACAUUUCUACUAGUUUCCUCGCACUUUUUAAUAUACGCAACAUCUUUUUAUGCAAAAGACUAGGCCUAUUUAUCUGGCCCAUUACUUUUGCUAUUCGAAAUUUGGACUCUUUCUUCCUGCACCUCCAUACCUUCUUCUCUCACCUCCAUAAAUUUUCAAAUUUCCGAAAAUGCCCCUAUAUAAUAUUCCGGAUUAUGUAAUCCGGAAGUCAUUUUUUAAAUUUGUAAUUACCUUCCGGAUUACAUAAUCCGGUAGUCUUUUUUCAGAUACAUGAUUACUUUUCGGAUUACAUAAUCCGGAAGUCUUAUUUAGCUUCCGGAUUAUGUAAUCCGGAAGUCUUUUUUCAAAUGAGUUUCCGAAUUACAUAAUUCGGAAACUACUCUAUGGGGGUGGCACAAGAAGGAGAAAAAUGUAUUUUCAUGUUGUGUAUGGAGGUGGCAGAAGAAGAUAUGGAGGUGCAGGAAGAAACAGUCCGAAAUUUGUUCUUUACAUUCUCAGCCUAGCUUUUUAAAAAAUAUGGGCCCAUUCAUUCGACCCAACCUUUCCACUAUUUACCACCCGGUUUUAAUAUAUAUACAAUCUUUCAUGAAAAGCCUGUACCCAUUUGGUGGCCCAUCAACUUUUACUAUUUCCCACUGCCUUUCUGUUUAUGAAUCCACCAGUUUUUAUUUGGCUGCUUCUUCCUGCACCUCCAUACCUUCUUCUCUCACCUCCAUAGAUUUUCGUAUUUCCAAAAAUGCCCCUCUGUAAUAUUUCGGAUUACAUAAUCCGGAAGUCAUUUUUCAAAUUUGUAAUUAGCUUCCGGAUUAUAUAAUUUGGAAAUCUUUUUUCAUAUGCAUGAUUACUUUCCGGAUUACAUAAUCUGGAAGUCUUUUUUCAAAUACGUUUCUGGAUUACAUAAUCUGGAAGCUAUUCUAUGGGGAUGGCACAAGAAGGAUAAAAUUGUAUUUUCAUGUUGCGUAUGGAGGUGCUAGAAGAAUAUAUGGAGGUGCAGGAAGAAACAGUCGUUUAUUUUAUUUAAACAAGUGUGGGCUGGUUAUUUUAGCCCAACAUUUAUGCUAUUUGCCACUAAUAUUUUAUAUAUACAAUCACCAACUUUUUUUGUGUGAAAAUUAAAAAUAAAUAAAUAAAAAAUUUGCGCUACAUCUAAAUAAAUUUUAGAUAUCUAUUUGACCAGACAAAUAAUUUGAUAUUUAAUACUAUUGUGUUAAGUAUUUGUAUAAUCAUAUGCACUAUCUUUUAUUCAAUACUUUUAUACCAAAAAAUUAAAAAAAAAAUUAAUAAAAUUUAUGCAAACAAUCUGUAGUAUUGUACAUAAUGCUAUCUCCGCUUAUUCACUCGCAUGCAUGAAUCAUAAAAUCAUAAAUCAAAGAAAUAUUAAAAGGAUAAUAAUUAAAGAUUUUAAAAACAUAAUUCAAACACAUGAAUAAAAAAUAUUUAUUCCUUAAAAUUACGUAAAUUUUGAUAUUUUUUUUAUGAAUAGAAAAGUGUAGGAACAAGAUUAAUUCUUGUCGAAUUCAAAUAAUUUUAAAAAGAUCUUUAUUUUCAUAUGCUUUUUUUAAAAAAAAUAAAUAAAUAUUUAAAAAAUUAUUUUUAUUUACAUAUAUAUAUAUAUAUAUAUAUAUAUANNNNNNNNNNNNNNNNNNNNNNNNNNNNNNNNNNNNNNNNNNNNNNNNNNNNNNNNNNNNNNNNNNNNNNNNNNNNNNNNNNNNNNNNNNNNNNNNNNNNCUUGCUAGAAUUCUUCUUUACCUUCCUAGCCUCAGUCGGAUCCAGCGGGAGAAGGCCAUCCGCCAGGCACCGCUUGUACUGUGUUAUCCAAGUGUCUGGCUCAUGGGUAGCGCAGACCUGCAUCACGUUCACCUUCUCUCCCCGACAUGCUCUAAUUCUCGGCGAUCUCAGAGUUUCUUGCGUCAGGGACUUAUGGCUUCUCAAAUGAAUUUAUCUUAAAUCUAUAUCCAUAUUUUUGGAUUUUUAGUUCAAUUCAUUUAAUUGGAUAUGAAUUAAUUAUAGAUUGUAUACAUUUUUAAUUAUCCAAAUAGAUUUUGGGUUGGAUUUUGACUUGACCUGGACUCAUGUCGAACCGAGUCAAUUCAAACAGAUUGAUGUCAAGCCAUUUUAUAAAGUAUAUUUAAUCUAAUUAACAAAGUAGACUUAAUCUAGAUUUAAUUUAUUUGAAGUCCAAUCCAUUUUAUUAUGAUCCAUAACCCCUGUAGUUGUACUAAUUUUUUAAUAGAUUUUACAUUCACUCACACAAUAAUUUAAUUACUUUCCUUAUUAAAUUAGAACAACGGGUUAUCGUCACUCUUAUGAACACAAUGGUAAGAUUUUCUCUGUUUUUAUGAAAUAUCGUGUUAUUUAAUUCAAAGUGCAGACUCUAGGCUUUAUAGCCAUACAAUUAAAGAUGAAAAAAACUGAUUCUACAUCCACUAACUCCACAUAUGAAUUUAUGGGUGGUUUCCUAAAUGCAUGGCACCUAAUUCCUAAAUAAUAGGUGGUUUCCUAAAUGCAUGACACAUGAUCCCUAAAUAAUAGGUAACCACUAAACAAAACAAAAAAUACAUUUAAUUGCUAACAAUUCCCUCCCUUAAACUAGAUGCAGUGGGAUUUAGUUUAUCUUUGAAGCUUCCAACAUGCCCAACAUCCUACGCAGCUUUGAGAAUUAUUCUAACUUGAGUGGCUUGGUCAUUAUAUCAGCAACCUGAGUUUGUGAGCUGCAGUAAUUUAACUUGAUAGUUCCAUCUUUCACUAAGUCUCUUAAAAAAUGGAAUUUAAUAUCUAUAUGUUUGCUCCUCCCAUGAAACACUGGAUUCUUUGAUAAUUGUAUCGUGGAAUUGUUGUCACAGAAAAUCAAUAUGUUUUUAUGUUCUUCAAGGCCCAAUUUCUCGAACACCCUUUUAAUCCAAAUACAUUGACAUGUACAAGAUGCAACGACUAUAUACUCCGCUUUUGUGUUGGAUAAUGUGACCACUGGUUGUUUCUUUGAGGACCAUGAGAUGCUCCAGAGCAAAAUAAAAAUACAAAUCCAGAAGUGCUUCUUUUAUCGUCUAUAUCUCCAGCAAAAUCACUGUCAGAAUAUGCUACAAUCUUUGCGUUUUCCCCUUUCUUGUAGUAAAUACCUAGUUCAGUUGUUCCUUUCAAGUACCUUAAUAUUAUUUUGGCUGCAAACCAGUGAGAUUCAGUGGGACUGGACAUAAACUUGCCAAUCAAACUUACUCCAUACAUUAAAUCUGGUCGAAUUGCAGUCAAAUACAUAAGACUACCUACUAUUUGUUUGAACAAAGUUGCAUCAACCUUGGUUCCUGCAUCAUUUUUUGACAAUCUUGUGCCAAGAAUAAUUGGAUUCUUGACUGCAUUACAGUUUUCCAUGCCAAACCGUGUUAAUACUUCUUGAGCAUAUUUCCCCUGACAUAUGAAAAUUCCAUUUGAAUUUUGAAUAACAUCAAUACCAAGAAAGUACCUCAUUUUGCCUAAAUCUGACAUAUCAAAAUUUGUCAUCAUGGAUCUUCUAAACUCAUCACGCAUACUUCUAUCAUUUCCAAUGUGUAUUAAGUCAUCAACAUAAAGACUUACAAUUAGAAUUUUACCUCCCUCCUUUGAUUUUGUGAACAGUGUAUGUUCACAAAGGCAUCUAUCAAAUCCAUUUUGAACAAAAUAAGCUUCUAUUUUGUUGUACCAAGCUCUUGGUGCUGGUUUAAGGCCAUAAAGUGCCUUUUUUAAAUUUGUACACUUUCUCUUCUUCACCCUUUUUCACAAAACCAUUUGGUUGUUGCACAUAGAUAUCCUCUUUAAGGUCACCAUGAAGAAAGGCACUUUUCACAUCUAGCUGAAACACAUUCCAGUUAUAUUGUGCUGCUAUAGCAAGUAUUAAGCGAAUUGUGUCAAGUCUAGACACCGGGGCAAAUACCUCUGUGUAAUCCACUCCAUAUUGUUGCACGUACCCUUUGACUACUAACCUGACUUUGAACUUGUCAAUUGCUCCAAUCUCUUUAAAUUUAGUUUUGAAGAUCCAUUUGACUCCAAUUGGAUUUACUCCUUUUAGCAUAUCAGUUAGCUCCCAAGUCAUGUUUUUCUCUAUUGAUUCCAUCUCUUUUAUCAUAGCAUUUCUCCACUUCUCACUCUUAACAGCUUCCUCAAAUGAGAUUGGAUCAUCCUCAAUGACUAUCAUUACAUUUAGGCCAUUAUCAUCUGAUAAACCUUCUCCUUUUUCGUAAUCUUUCAUCCAAAAUGGUUAUGUCCUACUCCUUCUAACCCUCCCUUCAUCUAGAGUCUCAUAAUUAAUAAUAAGAGAGUCACUAGAAUAAGUAUCAACACUUCCAAAACUAUUCUCAAUAUCUUCAUUUUUAUCCUCGGUUUCUUGAGCAUCAAUACUUUCCACAACGUUUUCUUCAAACUGUUCUUUGGAAUCACUCACAUACUCUUCAUUAUCUUCCCACUUUAGAAUAUCUUGUUGAUGUUCUUCUAUAUUUUGCUUCCAAUUCCAACCCUUUUGUUCCUCAAAAAAUCACAUCUUUGCUAAUUAAAACCUUGUUGUUGAUGGGAUCAAACAAUCGGUAUGCCUUUGAUUCAUCACUUACUCCUAGGAGAACACAUUUCUUGCUUUUAUCAUCCAGUUUUACUUUAUGUUGAUCCGGUACAUGGACAUGAGCCAACAUCCAAAUACUCGAAAGUGAUCAAUAGUGGGCUUCACUCCACUCCAUGCUUCUUCAGGAGUUUUGUUUGUACAACUACUAUAGGACUUCUAUUGAGAAUAUGAACACACAACCUUGCAGCUUCAGCCCAAAAUAUUUUAAGCACUUGUUUUUCAAUAAGCAUAGAGUGCACCAUGUUCAUAAUCGUUUUGUUCUUCCUUUCAGCAACUCCAUUUCGUUGAGGUGUGUAGGGUACAAUCAGCUGCCUACGUAUGCCAUGACUUUUACAAAAUUCACCAAAUUCAUUUGAAGUGAAUUCACCUCCUUUAUCUGUCCUCAAACUUCCAAUGUUGACACCUACUUCCUUUUCAACCAACACCUUGUACCUUUUAUAGAAUGAAAAAAAUUCUGAUUUUUCAUUCAUGAAAUAAAGCCAGAUUUUCCGGGAGUAAUCAUCUAUUUAAUUUAGAAUAUACCUUUUGUUGCUGCUUGAAAUUGGGUUGAUAGGUCCACAUAUUUCUGCAUGCACAAGUUGAAGUUUGUUUGAUGCUCUCCAUAGACUUUCGGUGUUGUUUCCCAGCCAAACAAUGUGUACAGAUCUCUCUUGGAACUAUGACAGUAGGCAGUCCAUUCACCAUUUGUUUGGAGGAAAGUGUCUUCAAACCACUGUAGCUUAAAUGACCAAAUCGGUUGUGCCAAAGAUGUGAUCCUUCCUUUAGUUCCAUUUGAAAACAUUUUGAAUUCAAAGGUGUUUGGGUAGCUGUUAGUGCAAACAUCUUAUUUCCCUUCAUAUCUAUUUUCAUAAUCUGUCCUCUUUCUGGGUGAGAGACUUUACACUUCCCGUUCUGAAUUAGUAUAAACAAGCCUUUCUCUUGGAGUUGUCCUUUGCUUAGCAAAUUGUUCGUCAGUUCUGGAACAUAGUAUACAUGUGAGAUUACAUGUGUGACUCCGUCAACAUUCAACCGAACACUUCCUUUCCCCAUUACAAAUAUUUGAGUGUCAUUGCCAAGUUUUACUGCAUUUCUAAAGUUCUCAUCUAAUUCUGAGAACCAAUUUUUGUUACCACUCAUGUGGUCACUGCACUCGAAGUCAAGAAACCAUUCAUCUGUUUUCCCUUGCUUAAAAUCAAGAGAAGUCAUUGGCAAGAGUUCAUCAUCUUGAUCUAUCUUAUCUUCCACCUCAGCAUAAUUUAUUUUUUUCUCCCAGGUAGGAGAUUCAUAUUAGAAAUGUCCAUGUUUGUGACACUUGAAACAUUCAAUUUCAGCUUUGUUGAUUGACUGUCUCCCUCUUCCCUCUGCCACAGAAAGAACCUCUUCCUUUUCCUCGUCCUCUUCCUCCCAUAUCUUCAUAAGUAAUCUGAAGUGCUUGUUCCUCCUCAACAUGACACAACAUCCUUUGCUCAUGAACUAAAAGACUACUUUGCAGUUCAUCGAUUGUCAGUGUUCAAAUUGUUGGAUUCUUCAAUUGAGCACACAACAUAAUUAAAUUUCAGGGUCAUGGACUGUAAGAUUUUUGCAGCAAUAAUGUCCUCUCACAUGCAUUCUCCACACGCCUUCUCCACACGCCUUCAUACUUUUAACAAUUUUCAAGGUGCGGGCAAAGUAUUCAUUCACCCUUUCAUCUUCCUUCAUUUGCAGAAUUUCAAAUUCUCAACGCAAAGCUUGCAAUUGUGCCUUUUUCACCCUUGUGGACCCUUGAAAUUUUUUCUCAUGAAGUCCCAAAUUUCUUUGGAUGUAUCAUCAUUGAGGAUAGUAUCUAAAAUUUCACGAACGAUGGCUUGAUACAAAUAGUUCUUUAUCUUCAAGUCCUUCAGCUUUUGUUCUUCCAUGGCCUUGAGUUCAACUUCUGACGCAGUUGUUUUAUCUGUAACAACUGAGAUCCCAUUCUCUACCAAAUGCCAAUACUCCUUAGAGCGAAGAAAACUCUCCAUGAGUUUUGCCCAAUGAUCAUAAUGCCCAUCAAAUCUAGGGAUUGCAGGUUGCACAUAUUUGUUCUUGUUCAAUUCUGCCAUGUCCCUUCUUAUUUUCAAUAGAGAGAAUUGUUGGUUUCUUUCACUCAGAGGUGUGCUCACACACUCACUCACAACUGUUUCUCUCACACUUAACAAAAUUCUAGAUCAGACCCCUAUGACGGAGCUCUGAUACCAAUUGUGAACACAAAAGUAAGAUUUUCUCUGUUUUUGUGAAAUCUUGUGUUACUUAAUUCAAAGUUCAGACUCUAGGCUUUAUAGCCAUAUAAUUAAAGAUGAGAAAAACUGAUUCUACACCCACUAACUCCAUAUAUGAAUUUGUGGGUGAUUUCCUAAAUGCAUGACACCUAAUUCCUAAAUAAUAGGUGGUUUCCUAAAUGCAUGACACAUGAUCCCUAAAUAAUAGGUAACCGCUACACAAAACAGAAAAUACAUUUAAUUGCUAACAACUCUUCACAGCCUCAACCUCACCAAGUUCUUGGAUUCUGCAUCUGCUCGUCCAUGUCUUUCCUCUGUUGCAGAUGAGUCUAAUUCCAUUUUUUCCACUGCCUUUCUUUCAUUUGAUAGACAAGAUCUAGCCAUUGUAGCUUGUUUUCAUUUGAUAUACAAGAAAUUGUGAAUGCUUCUACGAACACCUACAAGAGACCGUUCAAUUUUGGUCUUCUCCAAGACAUCAAGAAAUCCGUAGAUUUCUUGGUUGCUGCUGAAUCGCCUAUCUCCAUUGAAGAACACAUUGAAAUAAUUCUCGAUGGCUUAUAUGAAGAAUACGAUGCCUGCAUUACCUCUUUAAUGUCUUGAACUGAUCCCUAUACAGUAGAAGAAGUCAAGGCUCUCCUUUCGGCUUAAGAAGGGCGCUUAGAAAAAUAUCACAACAAUAACGAUCAUAUUUAUCAAGCUCAUGCUACUUCUUUUACUUACUCCAAGUUUUCUCCAAACACUCUACGAUACACUCGUGGUUCUUCAAGAUCCACGUUCACCACAAACCUUUUCGAUUUGCUGGUGCAAGAUCUUCAACAAAACCUUCGUGGACCUCUUCUUCAUCUUCUUCAAACUCCACUAGUUCCACCAAGAUUCAGUGUCAAAUCUGCUAGAAAAUGGUUCAUUGCGCUUUUGAUUUCUGGCAUAGGUAUGAUCGUCACACUGCAUCUCCAAUUUUUGCUAACCACUCACAGUUUUCUCCUUCUUUAAGCAACAAUGAUGAGCCCUCCAUUCUCGGUUCUCCUCCCUCUAUCAUGAAUCUUUUUGGUACCUUGACAGUGGUGAAUCACAUCACGUUACACAUGAUGCCUCAACUCUCAAUGCCAAAACUCCAUAUACUGGAUCUGAAAUCGUCAAAAUAAGUAAUGGUUCUGGCUUAUAUAUCAAACAUAUUGGUUCAACAAAUUUCAUUAAUCCAAAUAAUCAUUACAUAUUUUCUCUAAAUAAAUUACUACUUAUUCCUCACAUCAAUAAAAUCUUCUCAGUGUCUUUCAAUUUUCCCAUGAUAAUGUUGUUUUCUUUGAAUUUCAUCCUCACCAUUGUCUUGUCAAAAAGUAGGACACAAAUAAGAUACUCCUUCAAGAAAAGCUUAGGAAUGGUUUAUAUGUUUUCUCAAAUUUGGUUCCUUACUUUCAAUCAUCUACUAAUGUUACUAUUCUUUUGUCUACAACUGAUACUUAUACUCUUUGGCUAAUGACACUAUUAUCCAUCGUAUUAUGAAGCACUGCUUUCUUUUUCUGCAAAAAAAGGUUUCUAUGAUUCAUGCAUUAUUGGCAAAGCUCAUUAGUUACCCUUUUUUUAUUCCCACACAGUUUACACUACACCCUUACAACUAGUUUAUAUUGAUAUUUAGGGACCAUCUCCUACUGCAUCUUCUAAUGGAUCAUACUACUACAUUGCCUUUCUUAAUGCUUACACGAGAUACAUUUCGUUUUAUCUUUUACAACGUAAAUCUCAAGCUGCAACAAUUUUUAAAUCUUUCAAAAUAUUUGCUGAGAAACAAACCAGUUUUCAACUUAAAGCUAUUCAAACAAAUAAUGCAAAAGAAUUUUUAUGCAUUAAGUCAUAUCUUGACGAACAUGGCAUCAAUCACUAUUUAACUUGUCCAUACACCCAUGAGAAAAAUUGGUCAAUUGAGCGAAAGCAUCGUCACAUUACUGAAGUUGGUAUGACUCUCUUGGCUUAUGCAUCUCUUCCUAUUAAAUAUUGGGGCGAAGCUUUCACUAUUGUUGUGACCAUCAUUAAUGUUUUACCAUCACCGAUUAUUAAAUUUCUUAAUCUUUAUCAUUUUCUUUUCAAACAGCACCCUAAUUAUUCUUUUUUUUAAACCUUUGGAGCCCCUAGUCAUGAAUUAUCGGUCGUUAUAUGUUAUUAUUGUGUUCGGUAUGUCGAACCGACACACAAUACUUUGCCAUACGAAAUUUUGCACAUUUUUUGUGGAGAUGGAUGUGAGUGGCUCGGCCUCGAUCCAUUUUGUGAAGUAUUCGACUCCGACAAGGAGGAACUUCGUUUGCCCCUUUUCUGGUGCGAAGGGGUCGAUGAUGUUCAUCCCCCAAAUGGCAAACGACCAUGGGGAUGUGAGGCUAUGCAACACUUCUGGUUUUGCAUGGUGUAGGGGGCUAAACUCUUGGCAUUUGGCACAUCUCUUCACAUAUUCCGUGUAGUCCCCCUGGACGAUUGGCCAAUAGUAGCCGACUCUGAGGACUUUGGCAUCCAUUGUCCGCGCUCCCGAGUGGUUGUCACAUACCCCCUUGUAUAUCUCUUUGAGAACAUACUCGACCUGUUCCUGGGUGAUGCACUUUAGCAGGGGGUCGAGUAGCCUCUGCGGUAUAGAUCCUCAUUCAGCAUAGUGUACUGAACGCACUGCUGCUUCAUGAUUUUCUCUUCUUCUGGUUUGCAUGUGUCAUGCUCAAGGUACUAGACGAUAGGGGUCAUCCAGCUAUCGACUUCGACAUCAGCAACUGCCAGGCACUUGGUCUCUGAGACGUUGGGGUGUCUUAGUCAUAUUUGCAUGACUGAUCUCUGGUGGCUCUUUUUCUUGGUAACUGAAAGUUGAUAUAGGGCGUCGGCCCUCUUGUUCUCUUACCUUGGGAUGUGUUCUACUGGUGCCUUGUGGAAACGGACGAUGCUGUUUCGGGCGACAUGGUAGUACCGCUGUAGCAGGGGUUCCUUGACCUCGAACUCCCCCUUGAUCUGGCCAACCAUAACUUGGGAGUCACUUUUGCAUGUUACUUCAUGGGCUCCCAUGUCGUAUGUUAAGUUUAACCCAGCGAGCAGGGCCCUGUACUCGGCCUAGUUAUUGGUGGCCUUGAAUCCGAACUGGAUUGCUUGAUCUAAGAGGAGGUCGCCCGGUCCUUCGAGGACGACUCCUACUCCACUUGUUGGUGGAGUCGUUGACAUAAAGUAUCCACCCUACCGAGAGGUUUGGCAGUGGUUUGAGCUUGAUCUAGAAGUCGGUCAGGCACUUAGACUUGACGGCGCCUCUCGGUUGGUACCAAAUGUCAAAUUCAGAGAGCUCGACUGGCCAUCCUAUCAUUCACCCUGCAAGUUCGGGUUUAGAUAAAAAAUUUAAAAUGUGAUAGUCAGUCCUUACAGUGAUGGAGUGGUUCUGAAAGCAGGAGCACAUUCGCCUUGUCAUUAAGACGAGGACGAGAGUCACUUUCUAUCUUGUUUCGGCCGCAUGGAGCGUCCGACUAACGAAGUAUACCGAUCGUUCUUCUCCCUCUACUUCCUGCACUAGCGCAGCACUGACCACCUCCUCCGAAACCGCUAGGUACACUAGGAUAGGAUGAUCAGGCCUCAGCUUCUGAAUGAUUGUCGGUGAUGAUAGAAAAUCCUUCAACUGCUUAAAGAUUUCUUCACACUUUUCCUCCCAACUAAACUUGAUUGUCUUUUGCAGUAGCUGCACCAUUGGUCUCAUACGUUCGGCCAAGCGGGGACGAACCUGGAGAGGUUGUGAGGCACCCUAUGAGCUGUUGUACCUCCUUUAUGUUCUUAGGGCUCCGUAUGUCGGUAAUGGCCCAACAUUUGUCCUGGUUGGCCUCUAUCCCCCUGUGCGUUAACAUAAAAACCAGAAACUCCCCCCCCCCCUUCAACUUCGCAUGUGCACUUUUCGGGGUUGAGCUUCAUGUUGGCUCCCCUGAGGGCCUUGAACACCUCCCCGAGGUCCUUGACGUAUCGGUCAAACGAGUCCGACUUCACGACGAUGUCGUUCACAUAGACCUCUACGCACCGACCAAUUAGUCCUUGAAAGAUUUUGUCCAUGAGUCGCUGGUAGGUCGCUCCCGUGUUCUUGAGGUUGAACGACAUGACCUCGUAGUAGUAGUUAGCAUCGACCGUCAUGAAGGUCGUCUUCUCUUUGUCCCAAGGAUGUAUACUUAUCUGGUUAUAGCCAGAGUAAGCACCCAGGAAGCUGAGAAUUUUAUGAUUGGUCGCUCCAUCCACUAACCGAUCGAUGUUGGGAAGGGGGUAUGAAUCCUUCGGGCAUGCACUAUUCAAGUAUUUGUAGUCCACACACAUCCUCCAAUUACCGUUCGCUUGGUGACUAUAACGACGUUGGUCAACCAAGUUGUAUACCGAGCCUCGCGUGUAAACUGGUCGACAAAAGCUUUUCAGCUUCUGCCUCAGCUGCUAAACGCUUCUCGUCGCCGUAAUAUCUCUUCUUCUGCGUGAUCGGUCGCGCUUCCUUGAAUACUGACAGUUUGUGCGUGAUGACGUCCGAGCUUACCCCCGGCAUAUGAACAAGGUCCACACGAACAGAUCUAUGUUCUUCAUUAGCAUGGUGUGUAUUAUCUCGGCCUCAACAGUCGCCAUGGUCGUGCCUACGCAGGUACUGUGCUCCUCAUCUAGGAGGGGCACUCGUCGUAAUUCUUUCCUGUCCUCCAGCCUAUCCUUAGUCGUUCGGGGGUCCAGGUCCCUUAAAGCGACUACGGGUUCCAUCGGUAUCGGCUGGGCUUCUCGAGGGGAGUCAUGUUUCCGAGAAGAUUUAUGUUUGGGGGAGCGGUCGUUCCUCAAAGGCUCCACCCUCAGGCUUUUGGCAUAGUAUUCUCUUGCUUCCUUUUGGUCGACAUGGACCAUGAGGAUAUCCCCUGACAGUAAAGGGAACUUCAUCGCCAGGUGGGGUGUUGACACGAUCGCCAUCAGUCGAUUGAUAGACGGUCGUCCAAGGAGGAUGUUGUAAGAGGUAUUUGCAUCGAUCACCAAGUAUCAGAUCUUUAUGGUUUUGCAAUUCUUCUUCUCACUGAAGGUGGUAUAAAGCUCGAUAUAGCCUUUAGUACCCACCUUUUCGCCCGAGAAGUCGACCACAUGGUCGUCAUAUGGCACCAUCUCGGCUUCGGGUAUCCUUAUGGCUUUGAAGGUUUUCCAGUAUAGGAUGUCUAUUGAACUUUCUUGGUCCACCACCAUCUUCCUGACGGUGAACCUGUCGAUAUCAACCGAUAUCACCAUAGGAUCAUCUUGCCGGUAGUCAACACCUUUGAAGUCAUUGUUGGUGAAGGUGAUGGGCGACAUCCUCAGCCGGAAUGUCACUGCGUUCACCUAAUGUAUUUCCCAAAGAUGCUUCUUUCGGCAGUGUUGGUGCUUUCUCCGCCGGCAAAUCUGCCAGCGAUUGUGUUAAUAACCUUUCGGUCUCCCGUGGAGGGUCGUCUCUUCGCAGAGGGUCGUCCAUCCUUAAUCGUCACUUGUGGCGAUCUCGGUCAUACUCGUGGUCUUGGAGGCGAACGUCUCCUUUUUGCGAGCUCGUCUAUGGGGAAGAGAGUGCCUCGUACCUCGGCUACCCCUGACGAACUAGCGUAGAUGUCCAGCCUAAAUGAGUUCUUCGAUCUUGUCUUUUAAAGCCUGCCACUCUUCAGUAGAAUGCACGCUAUUCUGGUGAUGCCGACACUGCUUUCUUUGGUCAACAUUGUCUGGGCUUGCUACUUUCCUGGGAGGAGGGAUCAGCUCGGCAUUGAGUGCCUCAUCUAGAAUUCUUCCCCUUUCAGCCGUCAAGGGGGUAUACUUCGAGAACUGGCUUCCUCGGUUAUCUUUAUGCCUGUCGCCUCGGUGGCUUGACCGGCCUUGGCGAUCCUUCUCCUCAUUGCUCUUCUCCCCGUUGGCCUUUGCUCAGGCUUGGUUGCGAAACUCCCUCAACUUCUCCAGCUGCAUGAACUUGGCUUCUUUUCUAAGAUCAUCCAGGCUAGCGCCCGACUGCAUACAAAGAUUGUUGGAAAACGGUUCCAGUCACAGGGUCGUUAACAUAUGGUGCAUGGCAACGUCCGAGCUAAGGUUUCGGAUACUCAUUGCCACCUUGUUGAACCUGUCAAUGAAGGUUCUCUGCGAUUCUCCCUUAUCCUAGCGAAUGCCAACCAGGACGAUGGAGGUCAGGUGGUGCGGCCUGCUAGUAGCAAAUUGGGUCUCGAACUUCGAUACGAGUGUUGCGAAGUUGUCAAUGGAGUUGGGCGGGAGCUUGGUGAACCAACUGAGGGCUCCUCCCUUCAAGGACGUGGGAAACACUCGGCAUAACACUGUGUCGUUCGAUGUGUAGAGACUCAUAUGGGUGGUAUAUAUGCUCGUCUGGGCCGGUUGUACCAUCAUAUCGAUCCCUGUUGAAGCCCUUCCAAUUGUCCGACAAUGGAGCUUCUAUGACAACAUUGGUGAAGGGGUGUCGACGAACCGAGUCCAGGGUGACAGUCGUCCUAGCCGACUUGUUGAGACAGGAUUCACCAUCCAUCUCAUGGGUGGGAACCUUGUCCUUGAUCUCCUCAACCGGUCUCGGGUUGGAAGGGGAGGUGUAGGACCUGCCGACAACAUUUGUCGGCCCAGCAGAUGGUUCUCCAUCUACCAGCUUCUUUUUCAUCUCCUCAUUCUCUACGCGGAGAGCAUGCAUCUCCUGCUUGUUCUUUCUCGUGACUUAUUCUUUCUCUUCAUCUCGACCAUCUCUCUCUGCAGAGACAACAACAUCGCCAUCUGGUCGACUUCACUCAUCCUUUCCAUGCGUUAGGUUGAUACCAUAUACUUUUGUUCCUCAAUCAAAUUCUCUCGGCUCCGCGGUGGGCACUAAUUGUUCCUGUUAGGGAGAUGAGACCUAGAGAACUAUUGAGAGGUUUCGUCUUUCUCCUUCCUAUUGGGCGGUCGAUCUACACUUCAGCUUCCUCUCCCUGACUUUCUGCUACUCCUUAGGGUCUUGGUCACUCGAUCACUCAGUUUUCUAAAGAAUACCGAAUGGGGGGUACCAGCAGAAAACACUCUGACGCUCAAGUUAGCAAAGGGUGUUCGACACUCGAAUGUUAGAGUACGGUAAUAAAUGACGUACCUAAUUCUUGGAAUGUGCGUUACCUAGUUCUUAGCCAGUGUUUGGAUCUGGGGGUGAUACUGUAGUCGACAACGGAUGUUGAGUGCCACCCCUGUUUGGUUCCAGGGUUGCAUGCGGGGGGAGGGAGGUGAUGGAGAGAAAGGGAAGAGGUUACGCGAUCAGCUAAAGAAUGAAGAGAAAGGAUAGAGUAGUGAAUGGAAAGCCACGUCACACAUAAGAACUUACGAAUUUACCCUUCCUUUUCUUCAUUCAAUCUGCACGAGCUCUCUUCCAUGCACUUGCAAUGUUUACGCAUGGCAUGUGAAACUUCAGAAUUCACUCAAAGAAACUCAAACUAUCUUUACAGACUUGUGAAUUAGUUCACUAGGGUUGGAGAGGUUCGUGAGGCAUCAUAGUGGUAGGGGAGUGAGUUUCGUAGUGGUUGUUUGGUCUCAGGUUAGCAUUGUCUUGGUUUUGUAUAGCACAUAAUCGAUUAUGAGUGAAAAAGAAUAAAGUACAUAAUCGAUUAUGCUAUUAAAAAUAGUGGAUAAUCGAUUAUGCUCUUGAGAUAAUCGUUAUUUUUUUCGACCAUAAUCGAUUAUACAUUUUGUGUAAAAGUGAGGGUAAUCGAUUAUGUAUUUGAAUAAUUGAUUAUGUUAAUUUUUUAACUAUAGAAAUAAUCGAUUUUGUUAGUUUUUUUCAAAUUUGUGAAUUUUUGUGUUAAUUAAAUUUUUUUUUAAUAAUAAUUUGUAUUGUUUUGCAAAUAUUAUUAGUAAUAAAAUAAUAUAAUCAUUUUCAUGAAAAUUAAUUAUAUACAUUAAUUUAAAAUAAAAAUAUUAAGAUAGUAAUAAAAUUUGUAUUAUAUUAUUUAAAAUUAAAUAAAUAAAUUACAUAUUUUUGCUAUUAAGAAUCAUUUGAAUGAAUUUGUCUUAAUUAAAAUUCAUUCUAAAUCUAGACCAAAUUAAUAUAAUUAUUAUUUUUUAUUGAUUAGUAGGAGGUUUUUUUUUCAUAUUAUUCAUAAAACAUUAAAUUUUCUUUUCAGGUUUUAGAAUAUUCCUUUAUUUUUUAAUUCUUUUGUUUACAAAAGUAUUUUUUAACAUUUAUUUCUUUAUUAAAAAAGAUUUUGUUUUUAUUUGAAAUUAUUAUUUUGAUAAUAGGAAAAUAUAAACUGCAUUUUUUUCUCUAUCCAAUCAUUCAAUACUUAUGUGUAUUAAAAUAAUACAAUUCAUGUAUUAAUUUAAUAUGUUUUAUUACUUUGAGAUAUUAUAUACAAUCAUUUAAUUUAGGUGUAUUAAAAUAAUAUUUUAUUACUUUGAGAUAUUAUAAUAUUAAAAUUAUCUAAAUACAUUAAAUUAACUAACAAAAUUAAAAUAAAUUAAUAAAUUGAAAAAUAAUAUAAUUAUAUUUACAUUUUAUAUUUUAUUUAUUUAUUUGAAUUUUACAUUAUUUUAUUCUUUUAUUUAUAAUUGAAAUUUUAAAUUAUUUUAAUUGAAUAAAAUGUGCUCAAAAUUAAUUAUCAUUUAUUUUCACACAAGGGUAAAUUUAUAAUCUUAUCACUUACACAAUUAAAAAUAGUUUAAAAUAUUCUUACAAUCAUCACAUCAUUCACAUAUUUCAAUAAAUUUUCUUCACACAUCCAGUGUAACAUACUCCAAUUCUAACACUCUAAACUUUCUUCAGACUUUCUUUUUUAAAUUUUCACACUUCCACUCCUCCACACCCUCAAUUUUCCACUCCCACACACCCUCAACUUUUCACUUCUCCACAUCCUCUAAUCCAAACAAAGCCUUAAUGAUGACUUAACUUUACUGACCUUGAUUGAACGUGAUUGGACCGAAAGUGUCAAUCGACCUAAUCGCUUAAGCCAAGACAGAAUAUUAACGAUUCCACCUAUACCGUUCGACCUAUACCGGUACAAUAGCCUUAAUCAUCAAGAUAUGCUGAAUCAGAAUCACUGUCCAUUUACAAAUUUCAUAAUUUAAGAAUUUUGUGGAUUGCAAAAUUAGGAAAAAACUGUAAGAAAAGGACAAAUUGAAAUUUUUUAUAUUUACAGAAAUAUAAAAAGAAAGAAUAGAGCUACAGGAAGAAAUAGCCUGAUUAUUUUUAAAGAAAAAAAAAACGUAGAUGGAUGGAAAAAAAAAAGGAAAGCAAAUAAAACGAAGAAUAAAAAACAAACAAAUAAAUAAAUAAAUAUAAAAAUAGCUAAUAUUCUCUCAUAUCAUUAAUAUUUUAUUAAUAUUUAUAUUCUCUAUUAAUAUUUUAUUAAAAUUAACUAAUGUAAACUUCAAUAUUUUUUAAAAUGGCUUAUUUGAAUACAUUAUUAUUUUAAAAUAUACCUUUUUUAUUUAUUAAGAUUUUAAAUAAUUUUAUAUUUUAGUUUAACUUUUACUGUAACUCUAAUUUAUAUGUUUUAAAUUUUUUUCUGAAUAUAAAUAUAAAAAAGUAUUCUACCAAGUCAAUUCAAUCACUUACGAUUCUAAAGUUUCUUAUCGUUUAGUUUAAACAUUCAACUUUCGGUUUCUUUCUUCUCUCCUUUUUUCUUAUUCUUUCACCUAUGCCCGACACAAGGCGGCUAAUGGAACACUGAAAAAAAAAAAGGAUGCCUCUGAUUUCACACCCACUUAUCUGGGACCUACUGCAAACACUAAUUUCUAAUUUCUGAUAUUUUAAAAAUCAUACUUUACUCUACAACCAUAAUAAUAAUAAAUAUUAAUAUUUAUAAUUAAACAAAAAUUAAAAGAUUGAAGUAUAGUUAUCAAAUAAACAUUAAUCUUUCCAAAUUCACUAGACAGAUCUUUUUUAUAAAAUAUUUUAUAAAAAAUCUAAAAUUAAAGUGUACUUAAUUAAAAGCUGAAAAUGUCAAUUAAUGUAAAAAUAUUAUCUAAAAUCCAAAAAAAAAUUGGUGUCUAAAAUUAAAAGAAUAUAACCUAAACGUAUUCAAAAUCCAAAUACUAGACCACACUUAAAAAGUGACUGUGUAAGUAUUAUCAACAAAACUGUCACCUAACUGUUAUAACAUGACUUCUUAUAGCGUUUUAGGACACUAAUUUUAAAAAUUUAAUUUAUUACCUUAGAAAAAAAUCAUUACAAACAAUAAAGUAUGAAGUUCCGUUUCUAUCCAAGUAAAUACUAUUUACUUAUAUAGAAAAAUAAGAAAACAUUUUGUUUACUUUCGAAAAAGGCUAAUUUAAAGGUAAAGGGAUAAACACAAUUUCCUAUAUCAAGUAAAGAAAAAUAAUGAAAGUUUAGGAAAAUUUACACAAUACCUUUAAAAAGUUAAAAUUAUCCUUAAUUAUUUUUUUUAUACACAUAUAAAAUAAUACUUUAUAUAUAUAUAUAUAUAUAUUAUAAUAAAAAAUAUUAUAUAUUUAUAAUAUAAAUAAAAGUGAAAUAAUUAAUUAUAAUAAUAUAAUAUAAUAUAAUAGUAAUAAAACCAACAUAUUUAUAUAAUAAAAUAUAAAUGUAUUUAUAUAGUAAUAAUAAAAGAAAAGAAAUUAGUAAUAUAAAUCUAAAAACAAUGAAAUAAUGAUAGUAUAUUUAAAAUAGAAAUAAUAUAUAAAAAAGUAAUAAAAUUAUAAAUAAUAAUAGUAAUUAAAAUAAAUUUUUAAAAUAAUAAUAAUAAAUUAUAAACAAUAAUAAUAAAAAUAAAAUAAAUAUAAAUUACAUAUUUAAUAAUAAUUAAAAUAAAAAUUUAUUAAAUAAUAAUAUUAACAAUAAUAAAAAAUUAAUUUUAAUUUUGAUUUGAUUUUAUAAAGAUAUUUUUAUAUGUAUUUAUAAUAAAAAAGUUAUUAAAUAAAAAAAAUUACAUCAAAAUUUUUUGAAAUUAAAAUAAAAGUUUUUAAAAUUUAAUACAUUUCUUACUUUAUUUUUAUGACAAUUUUUUAUAUUUAUGAUAAUGUUCAAUAAUUUAUAAUUUUCUUAAAAAUAAUUAUUUAACAGUCUUUUAAUUAAAAUUUUAAAUUUUAAUUAAUUAAAAUUUACAUAAAAAUAUCUCAUAUUUUAUUAUUAAUAAAUUUGUAAACAUAUAUUUUACACAUUUCAAAAAAAUAAAAAUCUUCUUAAAAAAUAAAAAUUUUCUUAUAAUCAUCCUAUUAUUGCAAACUAGUAUAACUAAGUUUAAAUACAAGUUGAAAAUGUUGAAGUCUGACCUAAAAGUAUGGAAUCGUGAUGUGUUCGGGUGUUUGGAAUUGAGUAAGAAAAGGUUGUUGAAGGAUAUUGAGGAUCUUGACAUAAAAGAUAAUUUAUGCGAUCUUGACGACGAAGCAAAGUUGAAAAGAAUGGAGAUUUUCAAUCAACUGAUGGUGUUUGACAACAAGAUUGAAUCCCUAUGUAGACAAAAAGCUAGAGCCUCUUGGCUAAAACAUGGAGAUUCCAAUUCUAAAUACUACCACUCGGUUAUCAGAUGGCGAAGACUUAGGAAUGAGAUCAAAGGGGUUGAGGUAGAAAAUUAGUGGUGUGAUGAUCCCCAAGUUGUGAGGCGGGAAGCUAGGAAGAUGUUUGAAGGAAGAUUUGCGGUUACUCAUGACUUUGGGGUUAGGCUUAGCUCUAUAGAUUUCAAGUCUUUUUCUAUGGAGGAUAGUCUAAGCUUUAUAUCUGGUUUUACUGAGGAAGAAGUAAAAGAUGCGAUGUGGCAAUGUGAUGGCUCCAAAAGCCCAGGUUCGGACGGGUUUAACAUCAACUUCAUUAAGUCGUGUUGGGAUACUCUCAAGCCUGACAUAAUGGAAGUUAUGCUCUCUUUUUCAUGAUACGGGAGGUUUCCCGAAAGGAUGUAACACAUCUUUUUUAGCUCUCAUUCCUAAAGUAAUCGAUCCCAUAAGCGUAGACCAAUAUAAACUCAUAUCUUUAGUGGGCAUUACCAAGGUGUUAUCAGGUUGGAUUAAGAGGGUUCUACCCUUGGUCAUUAAUGUCAGUCAGUCGGCUUUCCUCGGGGAUAGGGGGAUGCUAGACAACGUUCUUAUGGCCAAUGAAGUUAUCGAGGAGCUACGGAGGAAUGGGAGGAGUGAUUUAUGUUUGAAGUGGACUUUGGAAAAGCUUAUGAUUCAGUAAGGUGGGGAUUCUUAUAUGAUAUGCUCUAGAGAUUGGGUUUUCACAAUGUAUGGAUCAAGUGGAUUAAAGGUGUGUGGAGUCUGCCUUAGUGUUUGUGCUGGUUAACAGAAACCCUACUAAAGAGUUCUACCCUAUGAGAGGGUUGAGGCAGGGAGACCCUUUAGCUCCAUUCCUCUUCCUUGUUGUGGUUGAAGGAUUGUCUAGGUUAGUUAGGCAAGCUAUCAAGUCUAACAUGCUCACAUGGGGUGAAGGUGGGGAGGGAUGAGGUUGACUCUUGUUUGCUCCAAUUUGCUGAUGAUACUGUGUUUAUGUGUGAAGACUCGUUCUCUAACAUGUUCACUUUGAAAGCAAUCCUAAGGUGUUUCGAGUUGGCUUCCGAGUUGAAGAUUAAUUUUCAUAAAUCAAUGAUGACAGGAGUAAAUGUGGUUAGGAGUAACCUUGAAUGCUAUGCAAAAUGUUUUAACUGUAAUCUUAUGAGGAUACCUGUCAAAUAUUUGGGGAUUGAAGUGGGUGGCAAUCCGAGAAAAAAAAAGGAGUUUUGGGAGCCAAUUGUGAAUAAAUUUACUGCGAGGCUUAGUGCUUGGAAUGGGAGAUUCUUAUCUUUGGCAGGGAGAAUUUGCUUAAUCAAGUCGAUUCUUACAGCCUUACCUCUAUUUUACCUCUUGUUCUAUAAAGUGCUGGAGUCGGUUUACAAUAGACUCAUUAGUAUUCAAAGGAGGUUCCUUUGGGGGCGAGGAAAGGAGAAUAGAACAAUCUCUUGGGUCGGCUGGGAAAAUGUCUGCAAACCUUUGGAGGAAGGAGAUUGGGGAUUAAAGACAUUAGAAAGUUCAACAGAGCUCUUCUGGCCAAAUGGAAAUGGCGGCUGGUGAGUGAAGAACGAGAGAAGUGGAAGGAUAUUAUGAUCUCUAAAUAUGGAGCUGAAUCAAGUCGAGGUCAGAUGCUCAAGAAAUAUCAAUCUUGGUGGUGGACUUGUCUAAAUUUUGUGCCAAGGAUGAUGUAGAAGGAUGGUUUAAGAAAGCUCUGGUAUGGUAAGCAAGAGCUGGGGACAAAGUCAGAUUCUGGGAGGAUGUAUGGGUAGGCAAUAACGAGCUUAUGUCCUUGUAACCAAGGUUAUAUUCUAUCUCUUUGGACAAGGGACUGACAGUGGGUGAGGUUGGAGAGUGGGAAGAUUCAGUAUGGAAAUGGCGGCUUGGAUGGAGGCGAACCAGAUUUGAGUGGGAAUCCCUAUAAGAAGAAGAAAUGUUAAGGUUUAUCUCCACGGGUUCUCUGAACAAGGAGGUAUAGGACUUUUAGAAGUGGGGAGGUGACGUCAAUGGUGAGUUUACUAUGGAAUCAGCUUAUAAAUGCUUAGCUUUGUGUUCUAGUGAGGGCCAAACGGGCAUUUUCAACCAGUUGUGGCAACUAAAGCUUUCCCUAACGCUCUGGUAACUGCAUGCAGAAUUUUGUUAGAUAGAUUACCUACAAGGGAGCAGCUUAAUCAGGAGAGGGGUGAGGGUCAGUUCGCCUUUAUAUGCGCUUUGUCAAGAAACGGAAGAGAACUCUCAGCAUUUGUUUUUGGAAUGUGACAUAGCUCAAUGUGUCCGGUCCCUAUGUUUUAGAUGGAUAGGUAUUUUGGCCAUCCAACAUAAGGACCUAAGGUACCAUUUCAAGUAAUUCUAUUUAGCGCACUUAAACCCCAAGCAGAAUAAGGUGUGGACAGGUUUGUGGGCGACUGUAGUACGGAAUAUAUGGGAACAAAGAAAUUAUGUUGUCUUUAGGCAAGGAGUCCCUGACACGGAAGAAAUUUUCCAAUUGGCACAACUUAGAUCUUGAAUGUGGCUGAAAUACAGCUUACGUACUUUUAUUUGCUCCUAUUCAUAUUGGCAUCUCAAUUCCAAUCUAUGCAUAAAAAAACUAUGUGUAAAGAGGGAGAUGGCGAUCUAGUUGAUGGAGGGGUGAAGGAAUUGUUGUAGAAGUGAGAGAUGUGGCGUCAAACUCUGAGGAAGCGACAGUGAGGAUUGAAGCGACUAGAAGUGUGAGGCAGCUCUGCUGCUAUACAGCAACUAUAUCUGCAAUCUGUUUUUUGGUGAAGGUUUUACAAAACUGGUGUCCUUGGUUCUGGUAUGCUGGUGCUGGUUUGCUGGUGUAGUUAUUUUAUGCGGCUCUUUGGUUAGCUUUAGCUAGUAAGCGUGUGCUUUUUUUAUGGUCCUGGAGUUUGUGGUUUGCGUUACUUUUUUUUUUUAGAUUGCUCUUUUUUUGCUAGGCAGAGAUGGAAUAGUCUUGAGUUCUGCCUAUGAUAACUUAAAGGUCUUAUAUAAGGUUGAAACAUUUUUGAAAUACUCAUUUUAUUUAAUUUAUUUAUUUUACUAAUAAAAAAGUUAUUAUUGUAAAAGGAAAUAAACUUUUUUUUCUCACAAACCUACUCUAAAAUAUUUUUUAAAAUACUUUAGAGUAACAAUCUUUUUUUUUUAUUUAUAUUUUCCUCUGAAGACACUCCAACUCACUCUCUACCCAAUCCGAACACAAAGUUACAACUGCAACACUUUUAUUUUAAUUUCAGAAAACAUGUGUUGAUUUUUGGGUUUACAUUGCAGACAUGAUUCAUAAUUUGAUAAAAGUACAUUUAUUCUUGAGAAGUAGAAGCAGGUGCAGAGAUGGAUGAGACUAAAUGCAUUAUCCAUGAAGUUCAUUCUGGAACUAGAUUGGAGGUAGGUAGAGUUCGAUAACCUUCUUCCACGAUGGUCUACUGCUUAUGUCAUCCCACCAACCACUCACAUGCUUCCUCUCUCUUAUCAGAUACUCUUUAUUCAUUUUGUUCACAAUAAAAUAUGUUAAUGGAAGAUGACUUAUAUCAGCAAGACUGAAGAAAUCCCCACCCAAAUACUUGCUCUUUGACAGCCUCUCCUCAUAAACAUCCAACACUUUCAACAACUUUGCUUCACUCUCCUCAAUCAACUUUGGAUCUGGCGUGAUGCCAAAAAAUGGAGCAAACAACACAUGCACAGCCAAGUCAUUGGCCGGUGGGUUAAAGUUAUGUGCUUCAACUUCCAGCCAUUGUUCCACAACACCCCUCUCUUCUGGUGUCCUCCCCACCAGCUCAAUCCCCUGAGAUCUGUAUUUGUCUGCAUAAUACCUCAUUAUAGCACGAGAUUCUGCAGAAACAGAUCAAACACAGACAACUUAAAAGGUGGUACCAGUAAGAUCAGAAAUAAUAACUGGAGAAUCAAAAUAUGAACAAAAAAACAAAAGUAUACAGGAGUUGAAAGUGGUACCAUAUAAGGUGUAGUCUCCAUCUUGGAUGACAGGAACAGCUCCAAAGGGCUGCAGAUAUGAUGAACAAAGAAGAUGAGUGAGAAGAUAAAGAAAGACGUAAUCUUGAAGAGUGAUGAGUCUCAGCAAGAAAAGAAAAUUGAACCUGUAACUUGAGAAACUCGGGACCCUUGUGCUCUCCCUUAAGGAGAUCAACUGGGACAACCUCAAAUUCGACCUCCUUCUCAAGGAGACAUACCAGCACCCGUUUAGCGGAAGCAGAGUGAGGACCGUACACCUUCACUACCAUGUUUUGAUUCUCUUCAGAAACCCUUCAACAAGAGUGAUGCAGUGAAAGAGCAAAACACAAUUUUUACUUCCCAGUAACACUUCUUAUAGUGCCCCCUACGCGUGAAAUCAAGCACUGAUUAGGAAUAAAACUCUUAAUAUAAUAAAAGAUUUCUGUAGAAUUAGAUAGAAGUUUUGAGUGAUUGGUCCUUGGAAAAAAGAAGAUCUGAGAUAUAAUUAAAUAUUACAGCUACCAAACAUGAUGGCCAAUGAUCUAUAAAGUAAAGAUGAGGAGAUCACAAUUCAUGUGGUGGAUAUUAUUGUGGUCCACAAAUAAUCAAUGUCUACCUUUAAUUGUAUAGAGUUCCCAUUAGUGUGUAUAAAAUUAAGACAUUUAUAUAACUUAAAAAAAAAUUAUUAAAUAAAAAUUAAUUUUAGAUAUCAAAAUAAUUAAUUAUUAUUUAAUUAAAUUAGAAACUAUUUUAAAAAUUAUUAGUAUAUAAAAUAGUUGUUAUUAUUAUUCAAAAAUUAUAAAAUAAUUUCUAUAUUUGAUAUUAUUAUAAAAAAAAUCAUUAAAUAAAAAUUAAUUUUAAAUAUUAUAAUAAUUAAUUAUUACUUAAUUAAAUUAAAAAUUAUUUCAUAAAUUAAAAAAACUAUUGUUAAUUAAAGUAAUUUUUAUUAUUAAUAGAAAUUUACAAAAUAAUUUCUAAACAGAUAUCUAACCAUUAGUUACUAAAAUUUUAGCUACUUACUACUUUAUAUUAUAUAUUAUUUUUAUUAGUAUAUAUUUUUAUUAGUCUUUUAGAUAUUAAUUUAGAAUUUAAAAUAUUAGUUGCUAAACUUAGAUAGCUAAUUUAGAUAAAACUAUUUUUACAAAUUUUUAUUAAUAAUAAAAUCUAUUUUAAAUAUAAAUAAUUUUUUAAUUUCUAAAUUAGUAUUUAAUUUAGUUAAUGUAGUGACUAAUUAUUUUUUAUUUAUUUAGUUACUAUUUAAUGAUUUUUUUUAUAGUGUAUUGAUGUCUAUUAAACUUAAAUUUAUAGUAUUAUUUUUUUUAUUGAAAGUUGUAAGUAAAAGAUAAAUAUUUUAGAACGUGACUAUUAACUUUCCCCCAAUAAAAUAUAAAAAAAUAUGAAUUAGAAAUUAAAGAUGUUUAAUUAAAAGUUGAGGUAUUAUUUAUAAAUAAAAAACGAAGUAAAAAAUAAAAAAAUUAAAUAGUUUAAUAAUUAUUGACAUAUUUCAUUUUUAUUACAAUACAAUUAAUUUAAAUUAUGUUAAUUUCAUUUUAGUUCUAUUAAUAUUUAAUACAAUUAAACAAUAUUUCUUCUUUAAUAAGUUGUCACGUGUGCUGUGUUUAUUGGAGAAAAAAUUAGUAACUUUAAUUUGUAAUUAACUUAUAAAAAAGCCUUUUAACCUUUAUUUUCUAUUUUAUAAAUUCUUUGUGAUUCUUCCAAAAAAUUUUAAUAAACAAUAAUUAUAAACCAAAAAUACUAAUUGUAUUACCUAAUAGAAUCACCCAACAAAAUGUAAGUUUUUUUACUAAAAGAAAAAAUUUAUUAUAUUGAAACAACUAUUUAUCCAAAUAAAAAUAAUAUUGUCUUUUAAAAUAAGUGACUCUCAACCAAACAAUUCAACUUGUUUUAUUUUUAAGAAUUACUGUUUUCUCAUAAUUCAAGUAAAGCAUCAGUUAAAAUUUAGAAAAUAUUUCUUAAAAUUGUCUAAAAUUAAAAAUAAAUAAAUAAAUGUCAUUUACGCUUCUUAAGAAGAUAAGGUGGCAAAUGAUUGGAAGUUGUAAGAAUUUUAUCCUAUAUUUCAUAAUUCAAAUAAAGUCUUAGUUAAAAUUUAGAAAAUAUUAAAAAUGUCUAAGAUUGAAAAAAAAAAGUGCUCUUUUCGUUUCCUAGAAACACAAGAUAUGGCAAAUAAUUUGAAGUUAUAAGAAUUAUAUGCUCAUCUUUUUCCUUUUUUAUUAUUGUUAUCUAGUCAAAAUAACCUUCAAUUAAUUAUGGAUAAAAAUACUAACAAUUUAACAACUAAUAAAAGUAUUAUGUGAUGUUAUAGUAAUACUAAUAUUGAGAUAAUACUAAGUCCUUAUAAGAGGUGGUACUUGAUCCGUAGGUCAAUUAUCGCGACUUGUCGAAUUGAUAUUUUCAAUUAAUCAACGUAUUUUAAAUUAAAAAUUUAAAUAAAAAAUAGUUUUAACAUAAUAAAUUUUUAUAUUAUAUUAUUUGAAAGAGGAAAAUAUGAAUUAGUAUUGUAAUUUAAAUCAAUAAUAUUUGUAAAUUAAAUUUCAAUUAUUAAUUAUAAUGAAAUAAUUGAAUACAUAAAUGUAAUAAUUAAUUUAAUUUAUUCAUUUAAAGACAUCAAUUAAUUAAUUAAAAACCUAAAAAAUAUUAUAUAAUUAAAUAUUUUUCUAAAAUAUAUAUAUAUAUAUAUAUAUAUAAUUUAUAUAUAUAUAUAUAUAUAUAUAUUAUUAAAUAUUAAUUAAAUAAUUUUUUUAAAAGAUAAAUAUUUUGAUAAAAAAGACAUAAUAUUAUUAAAGAUCAAUGUAAAAGGAUAUAUUUUCUUUUCUUCCAUAUCAAAUAUUAAAGAAUUUGUUUGAAUAAAUAAUAAAUAGAGUACUAAAUACUAAUUGCAUGAAUGUUAAGUAAUUAUACAAAAGAGAAAAAAAUUACACAUAACUAAAAUUUAUUAACAACUACAACAUUUAUUAUUUUUACAAAAAUUUGAAAAAAAAUUAUCAUAAAAAUUUGAAUGAACUUAAUAGUCAUCGAACGAUUUUAGAAUAAAAAUAUAUAUAACUAAAGGUUGUUAAAGUAAAAUAAAUUAAGAAUAAAAAAAGAGAGAGACAUAAGUUUAUAGAUUAUUUAAUUACUAUAAAAAAAUCAUAUUAACGACGGUCAAAAUUCCUACUUCAAAAAGAUAAAAAAGGUUGUUAGUCGCGUUCAAUAUUGACGGAAAAGCAACGAAGAAAAAUUAUUUUUUCGUCAAUAAUUAUUAAUAUUAUAAAAAUAUUAUUUAUUAUUAAAGCUAUCUUAUUAUGCUAUUAAUAAUAAUAAUAAUAUUAAUAAUAAUAAUAAUUUUAAUAUUAUUAACAAUAAUGUUAUAUUAGUAUUAUUAAUAUUAAUAUUAUUAUCAUUAAAAUUAUUAUUAUUAUUAUUAAUACUAAUAUUAUUUUAAUUAUUAUCAAUUUUAUUAAUAUUAACAUUAAUCUUAUUAGUUAGUUAAAUAACUAUAGAGUUGGAUAAAAAUUUCAGAGUAUUAUUUCAUUCAUUAGUUAAACUAUAAGUUUUAGCUUUUAUGAUUUCUCUGCUCACUAUUUUGGAUAUACAAUCUCUAGUUUAAAGUUUUCGGUUAAAUUUUCCAAUUAACGUUUCAAGUUAAAUUUUAUGGUUAAAGUUCUCAAUUUUUUGGUUUUCGUUUAAUUUUAGAUUUUUGAUUUAUUUUUAUGUCUCAGAUUUAAAGUUUUAAUAUUGUUAUUAAUUUUUAUACAUUAUUUCAAUCUAAAUAACACAACUAAAUUUUUUUAAAUUGUUUCAUUUUUUAUAAAUAAAACAAAUUUUCUUUCUAAAGAGAAAAUCAUUAAACUAAAAUUGUACGUAAUAAAUAUGAUUUCAAUACAAUUUGAUAUAAUUAAAGUUGUACAUGCUAAUUAAAAUCGUAUUUUGCAACUACGAUUUCUUCAUAAAUUAUUUUUAGAUGCAGUUUUCAUAGAACUUGUAUUUCUCACAUACGGAUUCUUUCAAAAUUUACAAAAUUGUAUUCGUUUUAACUUAGAGAAAUUUCUUUCAACUAGAGUCUUUAGUUUAGUCAUAUAAAUAGUGGUUUCCAACGGAGUUGUUAUUUUGUAUGUUUGAUCAGUCUUCUUCCCCUUUUAUAUCGAGUCAUCUCCUCUCCCUCUUUUGUAUAUAGUCCUUUUUCCAGCUCUAUUCCAUAAUAAAUUGAUGCCCGUAGAAAAUUCAUUUAUAUUGAUCUCUCAUAUAUGUUUCCAAAAUAUCGAUCUCUUGCAUACUUAUAAAAACAACUCAGAGUUGCGCUUAGACGUUAAUAGCAAUUAACAUUUCAAGUCUAUUUCUAACACUCAAAUAUGUUAAGUAUUGUUGUUUAAGUCAGAAGCCUAAAACUACCUCUCGGUCAGAUUUAAGAUUCUCAAACAUGUCACAACUAUUUAGAAUCAAAACAACAAUACCAAUAAUCAAUUAAGAACAUAAUAUUAUAUCAUAUUUAAAUAUCACCUCAAUACAUAAGAGCUCAAACAUAUUACUUCCAAUCCCAAAGGAUAGAAUUAGCCAUGCAUACUUCUGGCACCUUCCAUUCUCCCAAUUGGUUACAAUUCACUCAAUGGUGUUUUCCUCUCAAUCUGGCACACUAGGGUUUAUCUCUAGCUUCCUAUUUAACCUAAUUUGCUAGGGUUAGGUGACAUCCUGCGUCGCGUUGAUGUGCUUAAUGAUAAAAACAUAAAAUGACCCAAUUUUUCUGACGCAUUCUCGCUCAAUUGGUCUUUUUUAAUUAUUUAUGAGAAAUCGAUAUAAAUGAUUUUUAUACGGACAUCAAUAUCAAUCAAAUGACACAAUAUUAACAUGUUAAUCAAAAUACAAAAGAGCGAGAAAGAUGAAACUCAAUCCCUAUUUUUCAAAUUGAAGCAACAAAGUCUUUGACUUGUUCUCUUAUUAAUCAUUGCCAUCACAACAACUUUCAACACACUUUUAUUAUUUUGUUUUAUAUUUAGUGAAUAUUUUUUUUUUAUUCAACUGUUCCUUGUGGGUUCGAUAUUCGUCCUUAGGGACACAUUAUUAUUUCUGACAACGCGGUGCACUUGUCGUAAAAAGUCAUCAAUGGUUUUUCUCCACAUCAAGUUAAGACUUAUACGUGGCUUUCAAUAAAUUGGAUCGAACGAGGUCGACACCAAACGAAGUUAAGACUUUGAUGACUAUUUUACGGCAAAUGUACCAUGUCAGAAUUAUAAAUUGUCCCUAAGGACGAAUAUCAAACCCAUAAGGAACAGUUGAAUUCUCAAGUAUAAUAUUCACUAAAUAGAAAACAAUAUAUAAAAGUUUGUUGGAAGUUUGUUAUGUAUGAGAUUGCAAGAAUGUAAAUAAAGCAAAGUAAAGAGUUGUUUGAUUCAAUUGGAAAAAUUGGGAUUGAGGUUCAUCCUUCUCACUCUUUUGUAUUUUGAUAAGCAUAUAUUUGAUUAAUAUUGAUGUCCAUAUAAAAUUCAUUUAUAUCGAUUCCUCGCAUAUAAAAUUAUUAAGAUAGUCUCAUAAAUAUCAAUUCCUCGCAUAUUUAUAAAAACUCCUAAUUGUUACGAACAAAUGUUGAUAAAAAUUAACAUUUCAAAUCUAUUCUUAACAUUCAAAUAUGUUAAGCAUUAUCAUUUCAUUUAGGUUAGAUACUUAGACGUACUUUCCAGUCAAAUCUAAGAAUCACAAUCAUGAUAAUUCAAGUGUUAAGAAUAAAAUGAUAAUAUCAACCAUCAAUCAAGAACAAAAUAUUAUGUUUAAAUCUCCCCUCAAUACAUAAGAGUUUGAACAGAUUACUCACAAUCCUAAAGGGUAGAAUUAGCCACUCAUGUUGGUCAUUACAAGCAUGGAAAGCAAGAAAAUAAGAUCCAGGAUGUUUCUCCUUGACGACUACCUCCUUUAGGGUUUUCUAUCUCCUUCUAUUCUCCCAAUGAUGUCUUGGGUUAUGUCUCACACCUCAUAUUUAACCUAGUUGGGCUUGGACUAAGUGACUUCUCGCCUAGGCGGGUUAUAGCUUGCUUGGACAAGUUUGAGAAGAAAAAAAAACUUCUCUGGAGUGAACUCGCCUGAGUGAGUCUUGGGUGAGUUCCUUUGGAGUGAGCUUGCUUGAGCGAGUUUUAAUAUGGAAUAUUACUGAAAUAUGGCACUUAUCAGACUUGUGCGUGGUUUUUCUUCACAUCAAGUUAAGACUUGUACGUGACCUUCAAUAAAUUGGACCGAGUAAGGUCGGCACCAUACCAAGUUAAGACUUGUGCAUGGUUUUUCUUCACGUUAAGUUAAGACCUGUACAUGAUCUUUAAUAAAUUGGAUCAAGCGAGGUCGACACCAUACCAAGUUAAGACUUUUACAUGGUUUCUCUCCACAUCAAGUUAAGACCUAUACGUGGUCUUCAAUAAUUUGAACCGAGCGAGGUCGACACCAUACCAAGUUAUGACUUGUGCAUGGUUUUUCUACAUGUCAAGUUAAGACAUGUACGUGGUCUUCAAUAAAUUGGACCGAACGAGGUCGACACCAUACCAAUUUAAGACUUGUGCAUGUUUUUUCGUCACGUCAAGUUAAGACCUGUAAGUGAUUUUCAAUAAAUUGGACCGAGCAUGGUCGACACAUACCAAGUUAAGACUUGUGCAUGAUUGUUCUUCAUCUAUAAUAUGUAAUUGAUAACUUGAACACAAUAUGUUAAGAUGUAAACAAAUUCUCAUUCAUCAUUUAUUUUCGUUGAAACAACCAAAAAAAGUGUUACAACUUAUUAGUAAAUCUAAAUAACAAAGUUCCAAAUAAUUUCAUCUAUAAUAAAAACGAAGAUUAGCUGUUAAUCAAGAGCUUUGAAGAAUCCAAAUCCAAGGUGUUUGAUGAAAGGCUGGUGUUAUUGCUGUGUGUGGGUGGGAUCUGGGUAGAAUAAAGUGUGAUCCACUCUUUUGUUGAAUCUAAAACUGAUGUGAAUUAAAACCUUUUUUAAAUUAAAUGUUUUUCCAACUAAGUGAAAAACAACAUGGUGUUUUGUCGAAUCAACCGGUUGUUUUGCUCUUAGAGGUUUUGAAAAAGGUUGAAAGUUGUUUGACUUGGUUGACUUAAUUGUCAAACCAAAUCAAUCGGUUGUUUCGUGGUUUCAACUGAUUGUUUCUUUGAAAAUCCUAACAGAAUUCAGUUUUGAAUGGUGAAUCUGUCUUAAAUGAUUUCUAACUGAAUACGCUCCUUCAUUAAAUGUUUUAACCAAUCUUUGGAAAAUAUAAAUAGUUUGUUAUAUGUUUCUGAAGUGUAAGAAACAAUUUUGAGAAAUUCAGUUUGACAUAUUUGAUCUCACGUUUUCAACAUUCACAUCAAGCUUUGGAUUUUCAAGUGAGAGUGGAAUAGGAUUGCAAUUGUAUUCUUUUCAGUUGUACUUUAAUCAGGUGUAAUCCUUUUCUCAAUCUUCUGUAUUUCUGUUGUUGUAUUUCCAUGGAGUGUUGUGUGUUCUUUAGGUGUUCAAGAAUACUCUUGGUGUGGUUUGCCAAGGUAGUGUAUUUCUUAGGGGUUCAAGGUCACUACUUUGGUGUGUGGUGUUUGUAAUCUGAUUUGAUUUCUUAGUGGAUUACCCAGUUGUUUUUGGGAACUGGAUGUAGCUCUUGUUGUAAGAGUGAACCAGUAUAAACUGCUUGUGUGCAUUUCUCUUUCUUUGAACUCCUUUAAAUUUUGUUUUUAAGUUGUUUAAGUUUUAACUGGUAUAAACAACCGAUUGAUUCGAAGAAACAAUCGAUUGUUUUUUCUGUGUUUUACUUUAAAACAGUUUGUGUUCUUGGCUAACUUGAUUCCUCUUCUGGAUUUCUUCACAGAGUUUCAUUAAACCUUCAAAAGUUUUCGAAAAUAUCUUAUAAACAAUUCAGCCCCCCUCUUGUUUAAGGCCAUAUAUUCUAACAAUUGGCAUCAAGAGCUAAGUUCUUGUAGUUACUCAAGUUUUCGAUCCUAAAUCUUUUUUCUAUGGCUGAAAAACUACCUUUUGGGGAGGGUGCCUCAAUUAACAGGCCACCUUUGUUUUGUGGUUUGAACUAUCAGUUUUGGAAGGUUAGAAUGAAAAUCUUUGUUGAAUCUCUUGAUAAAGGGAUUUGGGAAGCAAUUGAAAAUGACCCUUAUAUUCCAAAAUUUGAAAAGGAAGGUGCUUCUAUUGAUUAACCUUGGUCCCAAUGGACUGAUGCUGAAAAUAAAAGGGCCAAGUUUGAUUGCAUUGAAAAUAAUAUCAUAACCUCUGCUUUGAACUCUGGUGAAUUUUUUAGGAUCUCACAAUAUACAUCGGUUAAGGAAAUGUGGGAUACUCUAGAGGUCACCCAUGAAGAGACAAAUGAUGUGAAAAGGGAAAAGAAACAUACUCUAAUACAAGAGUAUGAGAUGUUCAUAAUGUUCAAAGGAGAAUCAAUUGUUGAAGUGCAAAAGAGAUUAACCCACAUAGUCAAUCAUCUAAUGAGUCUUGGAAAAAUCUUUGACAAGGAGGAGUUGAACAUCAAGAUUCUAAAGUGUCUUGAUAGAUCUUGGCAACCAAAAUUUAUUGCCAUCUCUGAGUCUAAGGAUUUGACAUCCUUAACCACAACCUCCUUGUUUGGAAAGCUUAGAGAACAUGAGUUGGAGAUGAAUAGACUCAAUGUUCAAGAAAGUGAAGACAAGCAUGUAAGGAACAUAGCCUUGAAAGCUGCCAAGAGACAAAAAUAAGCAAGACUCAAGUGAUGAAAGUGAGGGAGAAACUCUUAGUUUGCUGUCCAAAAAGUUCAGCAAAUUCUUGAAGAGAAACCGCAACAAAGAAUCCAACAAAGAAAAGUAUGGAAACAAGAAAACUAGUGAUUUUAAUCCUAACAAUUAUACUUGUUUUGGUUGUGGAGAACAAGGGAAUAUGAAAGAUGAAUGCCCAAAUAAAGAAGGCAAGGAAAAGAAGUCAAGCAAGAAAGGGAAAUCAAAAAAGGCCUACAUUGCUUGGGAUGAAAAUGAAGUCUCCUCAUCAAGCUCCUCAUUAAGGUUACGUUUGGAUCCAGGGGUGGUACUGUUGUCGACGACGGAAGUCACAACACCACCCCAUUUGGUUCCAUGGUUCGUUGCGGGUGAGAGUGCAGCUGAAGAGAAAGUUGAGGGAAUGUUGUUUCUUCUGAAAGCUGAAGAGAAAGUUUCACUGUGCAGUGGAAGUGCCAAAUCAUCACCACGCAUUUCCAAUCUUGUCCUUACUUUUUUGCUGGAUUCAAGAAGCACAGUGCCUCUGCAUGCAUGCCAAGUGAAAAGCAAGAGAUUCCUGACUUGGUUCAGGAAUCUAUUGACCAUGUGAAAGUUUGAAACCUCAUCAAUGAAGUGGGUGAGAGGUAGGUGUGUGAGAUUCGUGGUUUCUUUAUAAACGUUGCUUCCUCCAUUCACAAUUCACAGAUAAGCAAGUGGACUGAGCAAAGAGAGCGAAGCAUAGAGUGUGUAGUUGGAGAGAUUCAUAAGUCACAGUGUGUGUUAGGGGCUUCAUUAACGCAGAGGUUAUUCAUCUGAAAGUGGUGUGUUCAUCUCUGGGUUCAUCUGAGGUGAGUUUAUAUGUUUCAUUCAACAGUUAAUCGAUUAUGGCUCAAAUAUCACAGGCAAAAUAAUCGAUUAUGGUGUAAUCUGCAAAAUUUUCCAGGCAUAAUCGAUUAUGUAUAGUGUGUAAAAUGGCUCAUAAUCGAUUAUGUGUUUGGGAUAAUCGAUUAUGCUUGUUUUUAGCCUAGCAGCAUAAUCGAUUAUGCUUUGAUAAUCGAUUAUCUGAUGUGUGUGAAAGGGGUCCUAAUCGAUUAUGGGAUGUGAUAAUCGAUUAUGCUUGUUUUUUGCCUACUAACAUAAUCGAUUAUGCUUUGAUAAUCGAUUAUUCUCUCUGUGUAAGUGAUGCCAUAAUCGAUUAUGUUCUUGAAUUUUUGAAAUAAAAAUGUUUGUUAAUUUAUUUGUUUUCUGUUAUUUUCAGGUGUGUUGAUCUUCCUAUAAGGCAUCCUAUUGCUGUUGUUGCUGUUGUUGAGUGCUUAUCUUCNNNNNNNNNNNNNNNNNNNNNNNNNNNNNNNNNNNNNNNNNNNNNNNNNNNNNNNNNNNNNNNNNNNNNNNNNNNNNNNNNNNNNNNNNNNNNNNNNNNNNNNNNNNNNNNNNNNNNNNNNNNNNNNNNNNNNNNNNNNNNNNNNNNNNNNNNNNNNNNNNNNNNNNNNNNNNNNNNNNNNNNNNNNNNNNNNNNNNNNNNNNNNNNNNNNNNNNNNNNNNNNNNNNNNNNNNNNNNNNNNNNNNNNNNNNNNNNNNNNNNNNNNNNNNNNNNNNNNNNNNNNNNNNNNNNNNNNNNNNNNNNNNNNNNNNNNNNNNNNNNNNNNNNNNNNNNNNNNNNNNNNNNNNNNNNNNNNNNNNNNNNNNNNNNNNNNNNNNNNNNNNNNNNNNNNNNNNNNNNNNNNNNNNNNNNNNNNNNNNNNNNNNNNNNNNNNNNNNNNNNNNNNNNNNNNNNNNNNNNNNNNNNNNNNNNNNNNNNNNNNNNNNNNNNNNNNNNNNNNNNNNNNNNNNNNNNNNNNNNNNNNNNNNNNNNNNNNNNNNNNNNNNNNNNNNNNNNNNNNNNNNNNNNNNNNNNNNNNNNNNNNNNNNNNNNNNNNNNNNNNNNNNNNNNNNNNNNNNNNNNNNNNNNNNNNNNNNNNNNNNNNNNNNNNNNNNNNNNNNNNNNNNNNNNNNNNNNNNNNNNNNNNNNNNNNNNNNNNNNNNNNNNNNNNNNNNNNNNNNNNNNNNNNNNNNNNNNNNNNNNNNNNNNNNNNNNNNNNNNNNNNNNNNNNNNNNNNNNNNNNNNNNNNNNNNNNNNNNNNNNNNNNNNNNNNNNNNNNNNNNNNNNNNNNNNNNNNNNNNNNNNNNNNNNNNNNNNNNNNNNNNNNNNNNNNNNNNNNNNNNNNNNNNNNNNNNNNNNNNNNNNNNNNNNNNNNNNNNNNNNNNNNNNNNNNNNNNNNNNNNNNNNNNNNNNNNNNNNNNNNNNNNNNNNNNNNNNNNNNNNNNNNNNNNNNNNNNNNNNNNNNNNNNNNNNNNNNNNNNNNNNNNNNNNNNNNNNNNNNNNNNNNNNNNNNNNNNNNNNNNNNNNNNNNNNNNNNNNNNNNNNNNNNNNNNNNNNNNNNNNNNNNNNNNNNNNNNNNNNNNNNNNNNNNNNNNNNNNNNNNNNNNNNNNNNNNNNNNNNNNNNNNNNNNNNNNNNNNNNNNNNNNNNNNNNNNNNNNNNNNNNNNNNNNNNNNNNNNNNNNNNNNNNNNNNNNNNNNNNNNNNNNNNNNNNNNNNNNNNNNNNNNNNNNNNNNNNNNNNNNNNNNNNNNNNNNNNNNNNNNNNNNNNNNNNNNNNNNNNNNNNNNNNNNNNNNNNNNNNNNNNNNNNNNNNNNNNNNNNNNNNNNNNNNNNNNNNNNNNNNNNNNNNNNNNNNNNNNNNNNNNNNNNNNNNNNNNNNNNNNNNNNNNNNNNNNNNNNNNNNNNNNNNNNNNNNNNNNNNNNNNNNNNNNNNNNNNNNNNNNNNNNNNNNNNNNNNNNNNNNNNNNNNNNNNNNNNNNNNNNNNNNNNNNNNNNNNNNNNNNNNNNNNNNNNNNNNNNNNNNNNNNNNNNNNNNNNNNNNNNNNNNNNNNNNNNNNNNNNNNNNNNNNNNNNUGAUCCUAUUUGUCAUUGUGGACAAUUUGCUGUUUUGAGAAUAGCGACAACACAAAAAAAUGCUGGAAAAAAAUUUUGGGGUUGUCCCAACUACAAGGUAAAAUUUAUUCAAUUAGGUUUCAAACAAACUUAAGAAUGUUAUUUUAAACUUAUUCAUUGUUCAAUUUUAUUGUUUUCUUCAAAACAGAUUAGAAGUGGCAUGGUUCUAGGCUGUAAUUUUUUCAAAUGGUGCAUUGAAGACGUUGCCGAUGAAAAAGAUGAAAUUAUUAUCAUACAACAGAAUAAGAUAUGUCUUCUAGAAAACCGUUUGAAGGUCUCCACAAGAAGGAUUCAAAUGUUAUUACUGAGAAUGUCUUUUCUUUUUCUAAUUAACAUUAUUAUGUUCUUCAUGUAAUGACUUUAUAUUAUAUAUUUUGACACCUACUUAAUUUUCAUGUUAUAUUCGAAAUUUCUAUUUUUUUUUAAAUAUAUUUUAUAUAUAUUUGUAUAUAUAUAACAUAACAUAAUUUAUAAAAUCAUUUAUAAUAUUAAAAUUAUGUAAAUAAAUUAAUUUAAAUUAAAAAUAAUUCUUAAUUAAUAAAAUGUUAAAUAAUAUAAUUAUACUUUAAUUUUAAAUUAUAAUUAACUAAAAUAUGAAAUAGGAUUAAUCAUUAUUUAUUCUUUUUUAUAUACAAGGGUAAAAUUGUAAUCUCACAAACUUUACUCUUCAAAAUAAUUUAUAAUAUUCUUACAACUAUCACAUCACUCACAAUUUCCAAUAAACUUUCCUCACACAUCCACUCUAACAUACCCCAAUCCAAACAACCUCAACUUUCUUCACACUUUCUUCACACUUCCACUCCCACUCACCCUCAACUUUCCACUCCCACUCACCCUCAACUUUCCACUCCCCCACACCCUCUAAUCCAAACACACCCUAAGUGAAGAUGAAAAAGCCAAUUUGUGUUUGAUGGCAAGGGGAGAAGAUUAUUCAAGUAGUGUAAGUUCUUGUGCCUCUUUAAAUGCUGAAAACUAUAGUCAAUUGCUUCAAGCUUUUAAAGAAACUUAUGAGGAAGCUAACCGAUUGGCUCUCUUGAAACCGGUUGAAAGGGUUGAACAACUGGCUUGAAAAUAGAGUCAAGACACUUGAAGAAGAAUUGGAAAAUUCAAAAACUGAUUUUGAAAAUAUUGAAUUGCAUUGCAAGAAUUCUUCUUGCUUGAGUCACUCAAAAGCUUGUGAAAAUUGUAAAACUCUUGAUAGUAAAGUCCACUAUCUAAGAACUAUGGAUAAACUUUCAAAGGGUAAAUCUAACUUUGAAAAUCUCUUAGCAUCCCAAAAAUGUGUUUUUGGAAAAUCUGGUUUGGGAUUUAAUCCUCAAAGCAAGAAAAAUAGGAUUACAAAGCCUUUUUCAAAAGUGUCAGAAAAACAACCGAUUGAAAAAUCGAAACAACCGGUUGUUACAUGUUUUUAUUGCUUGAAGAGAGGCCACUCUGUUAGAUUCAGUAAAAUUAGGAAAUAUUUUGUUCCUAAAGAUAUUAUGAGAUGAAUUCCCAAAGAUUCUGAAGUUCCCAAUGAUAAAAGUAAAUCAAAAGGACCCACUUUUGUAAGGGGACCGAAUCUUGUUGCUUGAAUUUAUUGUGUUGUAGGAAUACUAAGAGAAGCAUGGACUCUUGAGUCAUCAGAUCAAGCUUUUGGAAGGAAAAGAUUAUGUCUGGAAUUGAACUAAGGAUUCUGUACCAGCUUAAGUCUUCUUAAAAGCCAAAAGAAGUUCUCUUGAUCAUGCAUUAUGACUCAAUGAAGGGGCGUUAUGACAAAAGGAUAAGGCUUUCUUUGUUUCUGUUAUUUUUCUUUUCUUAAUUUGUGUUAAAUCUUCAUCUAAUUGUGAUAUAUGUGGAGCAAUUACACUUUGAUUCUUCUCUGCUUUUAAAAAUUCUAAUUAUUUGUUGCUUUAGAAAAACAACCGAUUAUUUUUUCGAAACAACCGAUUGUUUCUCCUCUGACAGCACUGCAUAAAACUGAUUUAAUUUCUUUAUGCAUUCUAUCUUUUACAGAUUUCAAUCUUAAAGGAAUUAUGAGUCAAUAAAGCAGUCAUAUGGAUCUGAUUUGGUUCAGGAGGAGGUUACUUCUUGUCAUAAAAGGAAUAUAUUCCAUAUCUUCGAAAUUCAAGUGCCUUUAUGACUAGUCAAAUCCACAUGUGUUGACCAUGUGUUUUUCUGGUAUGGGCUGACAUGUUUUCUAUGCAAGCUUAGACCAGAUUCCUCUUCUUGAAGACUAAAACCCACUGCAACCAAAGGAUCAAAGAGGGUUUUUUUGUUGCUAUAAAACCCUCUGCAGCUGUUUUUCUACACAAAAACAAUCAAUUGGCACAUCUCUAGCUACAUCUCAAUUUUUUCUCUAUUUUUUUUUUCCAUUCUGUUAUCAUGGAUUCCACUCCUCCAUCAUAAAAAAGGAUCAAAAUCAGGGCUGUAAGAACAGGACGGUCUUGAAGGCUGGUUUUCAGGGGACAAUGAGUUGAUUGAAAAAUAUCGCUUUGAAACAAGUCGAAAAGUGAUAAACAACCCAAAAGUUGUCUCUUUCAGCUAGCUGAAAAGUCAAAAACUGGAUGAUGUGCGAAAUCUUCUCAAGGAACAACUGCUAAAGAAGUUAUUGGAGAUGAAAGGGAACAUUUAUCCUAAUCUUAUUCGAGUUUUCUACACCAACUUGAAGUUUGUUGACAACAACCUUGUUUCUCAUGUCAAAGGUGUGGAUAUGGAGAUUAGUCAUGAGGUAUGGACUGCAGUAACUGGUUUGAAGUAUGCUGGGCUGAGAAUCAACAAAGUGAAUAUUGGUGUGGUGGAAGAUUUCAACAAGAUUAAGUAUUAUAGAAGUUGUUUGAAGAAUCCUCAAGCACAAGUAAGAACUUGUUCUAUUGGAGGGUUCAAGUUGAAUGAAAGGUUGUUGGCUCUCAUUGUAACUUGGAUUCUAACACCAAGAGGGAGCAAUCAUUUUGUUCUCACUGAGGAAGAUCUUGUCUACAUAUACUGCAUUAUGAGCAAAGUCAAGAUCAAUUGGAUCCAUAUCAUCAAGGAACACAUGCAAAUAUCUAUGAGGUUAAGUGACUAUCAUUAUCCUUAUGCUAUCUUGAUUUCUAAAUUCAUAAACUAUUUUAAAGUAGAUCUUGAGGAAGAAACAUCCGAAUUGAGGAAAUCAACAUAUGAAGUGAACAAUGGUUCACUAAGCAAGAUGGGUUUUACCAAGAUUGGUGGAAGAUGGGUAAGCAAGGAUGGUGAACAUGGUGGUUCCUCAAGUGGUGCACAUGCUAAACAUGAUGAAGAAGAUCAAGAAGCUGCUGAAGGUGUUGAUGUUGAUGCUCAAGAUGAAGAUCAACCUGCUACUGAGAUAGGUGUUGGAACAAGUGCUGGAAAUCAAGGAAAUAAAAUUCUCUCAAUGUCUCCUUUUGAGAGAUUCAUGGUAAAUAGGUUGGACAACUUUGUUGAAAAUCAAAGAAAUCUUCAUGAUCUUUGUGCUACAAACUUUCAGAACUUUGACAAAAGAUUUCAAAGCAUGGAUACUCAUUUUCAGAACCUUGAUGAACAAAUUGAAGUUGUUCAAAACCAACUUUAUGAGCUGCAAUAUGGGAAAGAUGAUUGAAGCCAAGUUUCGUUAAAUUUCUAUGUGAGUAUUGCUUUAUUUUGAACUAUUAUGUUUUUAUCUCUUCCUAAUUCUAUUUGUGGAGACAAAUAGGGAGAGAAAAUGGUUUAUGAGUUGUCUUAAAACUACUAUAAAGUAUGCUUUAAUUUCGGCUGCAUAUGUUGUUUGAUUUUGGUGCUGUAGUUUUGAUGUUUUUGGCAUAGUUUGUGGCUGGUUUUUCUACUCUUGUGGUUAUGUAGAAAAACUAGUUGAUGUAUCAUCAUAACCUGCUAUUAGAGAUGCUCUAGAUUGCAUAGUUUAUGUUUUGCACGUGCUGUUUCAGAUUCAAACAAGAUCAACACAAGCAACCAGGGAUUUGUCUUAAUCAAAUAGGGGGAGAUUGUUGAUCAAGAGUGGUCAAGAGCUUUGAAGAAUCCAAAUCCAAAGUGUUUGAUGAAAGGCUGGUGUUGUUGCUGUGUGAGUGGGAUCUGGGUAGAAUAAAGUGUGAUCCACUCUUUUGUUGAAUCUAAAACUGAUGUGAAUUAAAACCUUUUUCUAAAUUAAAUGAUUUUCCAACUAAGUGAAAAACAACCUGUUGUUUUGUCGAAUCAACUGGUUGUUUUGCUCUUAGAGGUUUUGAAAAAUGUUGAAAGUUUUUGACUUGGUUGACUUAACUGUCAAACCAAAUCAAUCGAUUGUUUCGUGGUUUCAACUGAUUGUUUCUUUGAAAAUCCUAACAGAAUUCAGUUUUGAAUGGUGAAUCUAUCUUAAAUGAUUUCUAACUGAAUAUGCUCCUUCAUUAAAUGUUUUAACCAAUCUUUGGAAAAUAUAAAUAGUUUGUUAUAUGUUUCUGAAGUGUAAGAAACAGUUUUGAGAAAUUCAAUUUGACAUAUUUGAUUUCAAGUUUUCAAGAUUCACAUCAAGCUUUGGAUUUUCAAGUGAGAGUGGAAUAUGAUUGCAAUUGUAUUCUUUUCAGUUGUACUUUGAUCAGGUGUAAUCCUUUUCUCAAUCUUCUAUAUUUCUUUUGUUGUAUUGCCAAGGAGUGUUGUGUGUUCUUGAGGUGUUCAAGAUCAAUACUCUUGGUGUGGUUUGCCAAAGGCAGUGUAUUUCUUGAGGGGUUCAAGUUUGGUGUGUGGUGUUUGUAAUCUGGUUUGAUUGCUCAGUGGAUUACCCAGUGGUUUCUGGGAACUGGAUGUAGCUCUUAUUGUAAGAGUGAACCAGUAUAAACUGUUUCUGUGCAUUUCUCUUUCUCUGAACUCCUUUAUAUUUUGUUUUUAAGCAGUUUAAGUUUUAACAGGUAUAAACAACUGAUUGAUUCGAAGAAACAACCGAUUGUUUUUUCUGUGUUUUACUUUAAAACAGUUUGUGUUCUUGGAUAACUUGAUUCCUCUUAUGGAUUUCUUCACAGAGUUUCUUAAACCUUUAAAAGUGUUUGAAGAACUCUAAUUAUCACCUUGCAGCCAGCUUGCUAUCCAUGUGAAUUUCUCCUGCUUUCCUUAACACCAAAUCUCCUUUUCAGAACUCUCUUGGGCUUACUUUGCUUAAAAAUUUUGCUUCAAUUCUUCUCUUGAGAGCGACUUCCUUCACCUUUUCUUUAUCCCUCAACUCAUCUAUUGUAUCCAAAUGGAAAAGUCUUCCCUUCUGUUCCUCAAAAUCUCCUACCUUUCUAGAUGGAAUUUCUAACCCAAUGGAUAAUACUACAUCACUUCUGUACACCAACCUGAAAGGAGUUUCCCUUGUUGUUGAUUGAAAUAAAGUGUGGUAUGACCAAACUAUCUCUGAUAAAAACUCCACGCACCUUGUCUUGGCUUUCCCCACUUUCUUCUUUAACCCUGCAAAAUCACCUUAUUUGCAGCCUCCACUUGUCUAUUUGUUAGGGGAUGCUCCACCAUUGAAAAAACAUAAUGAAUUCACAUCUCCUUGCAGAUGUCCCGCACCUUUUUACUUACAAAUUGUGUCCCAUUAUCUGACAUCACCUCCCUUAGUACUCCAAACCUGCAUAUUAUAGAUUUUCAAAUAAAUUUCUAUAUUUUUCCAGCUGUUAUUGUAGUUAAAGGUUCUACUUCCACCCACUUUGUAAAUUCGAGAAUGUUUGGAAAUCCGACUGGACCCCCUAUUCGUCUUGGUGACCUAGGAAUUGAUGAUUGAUUUGUUUUUGGAACUCUUCAUUCUUCCUUUGGAAUUGGUCCUGAACCCUAAAAGAUUCCUCCAACAUCUCCCUCGUUUGGACAUUCUCCCUUCUCAAAUCUUAUUGGGCUCUCCUAAACUCCUCAACUCGUUCCUUAUUUUGCUUUCUCAUCGCCUCCAUCAUUUUCAUUAAGGUCUCUGUUGCAUCUGGUGCUUCAUUGCCUUCCUCCUAUUACAGUAUGCCGUGUUGCUCUUAUUAUCAUCUAGAAAAUUUUUACGACAUAAGAUUAUUUUACAUAUCUCAUAAUGGACACAAUGUUCUAGCCAAGAGGUAUAUCUCUCAAGCAUCUAGUUUAACCAGAAAAAUUGACUUUUAGCUAAAUUGUUCUAUCUAUAGUCUCCUUCUCUUAUUAUAUUAAGUCCUCUCUUUUUCCUCUUUUAUAUCUAGUUCUGUCCCGUAUAUCCAACCAAUUGUUGUAAUAAACACUCUCCCAAUUAAAUGGAAUUUUCUUCCUUAAUUUCAGAUAUCGGCUAUAAAGCUUAAAUAGGUUCGGCCAUUACCUUAAUUUCAGAGAUCGUUUUGCCACAUAAAUGGGAGCUCACAAUACUUAAUUGAUAAUUUCUUUAAAAUCUAAUCGUACUCCAUGGUUUAUCCAAUUUUAGAAUAAAAAACUAGUCUGUCUGCGGAAAUUCGGAUUAAAAUUAUUAUACUUUGAGAAAGAAACCGACUGUGUAUGUAUUAUAAAUAAAACUGCCACAUAACUGUUAAAACAUGACUUCUUAUAUCAUUUUAGGAAACCAAUUUAAAGUCUACAACUGAACAUGAAGUUUCAAACCAUUACACUUUUAUUUAAUUUUAGAAAACAUUUGUUGCCUAAAGAUCUUUGGGUUUAUAUUGCAACAUUACUCAUAAUUUGGUAAAAGUACAUUUAUUCUUCAGAAGCACGUCCAGAUAUGGAUGAUACUAAAUGCAUGGUCCAUGAAGCCCAUUCUGGAACUAGACUGGAGGUGGGUAGAGUUGGAUAACCUUCUUCCACGAUGGUCUACUGCUUAUGUCAUCCCACCAACCACUCACAUGCUUCCUCUCUUUUAUCAGAUACCCUUUAUUCAUUUGGUUCACUAUAAAAUAUGUAAAUGGAAGAUGACUUAUAUCAGCAAGACUGAAGAAAUCCCCACCCAAAUACUUGCUCUUUGACAGCCUCUCCUCAUAAACAUCCAACACCUUCAACAGCUUUGCUUCACUCUCUUCAAUCACCUUUGGAUCUGGAGUCAUGCCAAAUAAUGGAGCAAACAACAGAUGCACAGCCAAGUCAUAAGCUGGUGGGUGAAAGUUAUGUGCUUCAACUUCUAGCCAUUGUUCCACAACACCCCUCUCUUCCGGUGUCCUCCCCAACAGCUCAACCCCCUGAGAUCUGUAUUUGUCUGCAUAAUACCUCAUUAUAGCACGAGAUUCUGCAGAAACAGAUCAAACACAGACAAGUUACAAGGUGGUAUAGCAGUAAGAUAAGAAAAAAUAACUGAAGAAACAAAAUAUGAACAAAAAAGCAAAAGUAUAUAGGAGUUGAAAGUGUAACCAUAUAAGGUGUAGUCUCCAUCUUGGAUGACAGGAACAACUCCAAAGGGCUGCAGAUAUGAUGAAUAAAGAAAAUGAAUGAGAAGAUAAAGAAAGACGUAAUCUUGAAGAGUGAUGAGGGUGGGCAAAAAAAGAAAAUUGAACCUGUAACUUGAGAAACUCGGGAUCCUUGUGCUCUCCCUUAGUGAGAUCGACUGGGACAACCUCAAAUUCGACGUCCUUCUCAAGGAGACAUACUAGCACCCGUUUAGUGGAAGCACAGUGAGGACCGUACACCUUCACUACCAUGUUUUGAUUCUCUUCAGAAACCCUUCAACAAGACUGAAGCAGUGAUAGAGCCAAACACAAUUUCUACUUCCUGGUAACACUUCUUAUAGUGCCCCUACGCGUGAAAUCAAGCGCAUGUUUUCACACUGUAGUUGUAAAUGGAUUUGGAAUGGGUAGGAUAGAAUCAAACUCUUUUACUUAAUAUAAUAAAAGAUUUGUGUGGAAUUAGAUAGAAGUUUCGAGUGGUUGGUCCUUUGGGAAAAGAGGAAAAAGAAGAUGUGAAUAUAAAUAUUACAACUACCAAACAUGAUGGGCAAUGAUUUAGAAAGUAAAGAUGAGGGGGUGGAUAUUAUUGUGGUCGACAAAUAAUCAAUGUGCUACCUUUAAUUGUACAGAAUUCGGAUUACUGUGUAUAAAAGUAUAACAUUUAUAUUGAUGUCUAUUAAAGUUAAAUUUAUAGUAUUAUUUUUUUAUUGAAAGUUAAGAAAGAGAUAAAUAUUUUAGAACGUGUUUCCCACCAAAAAAAUAAAUAAAUAUGAAGUAGAAAUUAAAGAUGUUUAAUUAAAAGUUGAGGUAUUAUUUAUAAAUAAACAAUGAAAUAAAAAAUUAAAUAGUUUAAUAAUUAUUGACAUAUUUUAUUUUUAUUGCAAUACAAACAUUUUAAUUAUGUUAAUUUCAUUUGAGUUCUAUUAAUAUUUAACACAAUUAAACAAGUAUUUCGUCUUUAAUAAGUUGUCACGUGUGUUUGUGUUUAUUGGAGAAGAAAAAUAAUAACUUUAACCUGUAAUUAACUUUAACCUAUAUUUUCUAUUUUAUACAUUAAAAAUUCUUUGUGAUUCUUUUAAAAUUUUUGAAUAAACAUACGUGAUAGUUACAAAUACAAAAGUAUUUAAUUGUAUUAAAUAAUAGAAUCCAACAAAAUGUAAGUUUUUUUUAUUAAAAUAAAAAACUUAUUGUAUUGAAAUAACUAUUUAUCCAAAUAAAAAUAAUAUUGUCUUUUGAAAUAAGUGACUCCCAACCAAAAAAUCCAACUUGUUUUAUUUAUUAAGAAUUAUUGUUUUCUCAUGAUUCAAGUAAAGCAUUAGUUAAAAUUUAGAAAAUAUUUCUUAAAAUGGUCUAGCAAUAAAAUUGAAUAAAAAAAAAGUGUCAUUUUCGCUUCUUAAGAACAUAAGAUGGCAAAUAAUUGGAAGUUCUAACAAUUAUAUCCCAUAUUUCAUAAUUCAAGUAAAGCCUUAGUAAAAAUUUGGAAAAUAUUAAAAAUGUCUAAGAUUGAAAAUAAAAUAAAUAAAUAAAAAAGUGCUCUUUUCGCUUCCUUGGAAAGUUGUAAGAAUUAUAUCCUCAUAUUUUUUCCUUUUUUCUUCUAAGGACCAACUCAUCAACACCUACUUAUUAUUAUUAUUGUUAUCUAGUCAAAAUAACCAUCAAUUAUGAUAAAAGUACUCAUAACACUAAGACCUACUAAACCUCGCGACUGGUCGAAUUGAUAUUUUCAAUUAAUUAACCUAUUUUUAAAUUAAAUAUUUAAAUAAAAAUAUUUUAAUAGAUUAAUUUUCUAUAUUAUAUUAUUCGAAAGAUGUAGAUAUGAAAUAGUAUUGUAACUUAAAUCAAUAAUAAUUGCAAAUUAAGUUUCAGUUAAUUAUAAAAAUAAUUUAAUACAUAAAUGCAAUGGUUAAACUAUAAGAAAAGUUGUUUUUGGAAACUAAAUUUUUGAGUUUCUAAAAUGAUAAAAUUAGUCAAUAACUUAAUUAGAAACUAAUUUAAAAUCUAAUUGUAGUAAGUGGCUAAAAUCAUCUUCGUUAAUUUUAUAUACCAAUUUAGAUUCUAAUUUAGAAACCAAUUUAGUUAUCAAUAAAAACCAACUUAGUGACCAAAUAUAUAGAAACUAAUUUAGUAAUCAAUUAUAUAGAAAUCAAAUUAACAACCAAUUUUAUUGAAACCAAUUUAGUGACCAAAAUAUAUAGAAACUCAUUUAGUGACCAAAUAUAUAAAUAUAAAAAAAUGGUCACUAUAAUGGUCUCCAAAUAAUAUAAUUUUUUGUAAAAAAAAAAAAUUUAUCAAAUGGAAAAAUCAAUUCAUUUGAAAUAUUUUAAGAUAUUCUCUUGUGUCUAAAACUAGUUUCAAUAUAAGUAUGCACAUGAAGGAAAUUAAAUCAUUAGAAGGAACAAUCCAAUUUAGCUUAAUCUUUCUUUGUCGAGCCUUAUUUAAAUUAUUUUUCAUUAUUAUAGCAUCUCGCAUUUCAAAAUUAUUUCUUGCCCACUUAUGAUCUGGUGCACAAAUCGAAAACUUCUUCUGCAUUAAUAAAAAAACAAAGUUAAUUAUAUGUAAAACUAACAUACAUAAUAAAAUUGAACUAAAUAAUUAAAUAAAGUUAGUUAUAUGAAAUCAACCAAAAACUCUCCGAACUACAAGUCUCUUGUUCUAAACACCAAAUAAGAUGCAUCUUUUAAAAAAGCAAACAAAAACCAAAUAGUUUUUUAUGACUAGUCGCUCGGAAGAGAAAAAUUAAUCAAGAAAUAUUGACCUUAUAAUUAUGGAUUGAUUCACUUCAUCUGCAAACAAAGCAAUAGACAGAUUAAAAAGUUAUAGUACAAAACGAAUGGAAACAGCUUAACCUUUUAAAACUUAAUUUCUAUAAAAAAUAAGGAAAAAGUUGUCUCGUAUCAUUUCUCGAAUGGCUGUCAGUAAUUGCAUAUAAAUGAGGGCUUUCACUUGCCUUACACUUGUAGGCUUCAAUAUAGUCAUUUUAUCAUACUAGAGAGUUUACUAUCAUUCGUGGGACUCCAUUAAACUUGACUUUCGACUCGUAAACUCGUAAGAGUCUACUUCAUAAAAAAAAUUUAACAAAAAAAUAAUUCAUGAAAACAAAUCCAUAAUAUUGAAAUAAACAAGUUCAUACACUAAUAAAAUAACUAAAACAACACAAAUGUUAUAAUUUAAAAGUCUCAUUCUUCUAAUUCUUCAAGAAAAUCAUCUAACUCUAAAACAAACAAUCAAUUAGUCAUUCUGCUUUAAAAUUAAACAAAAAUCCAAUAUGUCCAAAGCAGUAAAAGAACUUCAGGAUGUCCAAAAAUCUGCCCCAACCCAAUGAACAAAAACGCCCCAACCCAUUUUUAAAAGUUCAAACCUAAUUUUGAAAACCCUAACCCAAUCCGUCCUCACCGCAGCAGCAGGACUUACCCAUCAAAGUGUUUCGCGAACGGCGUAGUGUGACGAGGAUCAUUGUGAAACGAGGUGUGACAACCAGCGGCGCGAUGCGACGAGCGGUGCGGUACGAGGAGCAGUGUGGGGUUGUGCGAGGCGAGGAGCGACGCGGUACGAGGCAAGGAGCGGCGCGGUACGAGGCGAGGAGCGGUGCGGUGUGAUGAGCGGUAAAACCCUAAAAAAUCUAACCUAAUCACAAGGAAACACAUCGUUUUGAGUCCAUUUUACGCAACUCGAUAACUCGACCUUAAACUCACGAGUUUAGCCGAGUUUGACCGAGUCAACUUCGGAUUCGGGUUUACUCAAAAACGAGUUUACUCCCGAGUUGACUCGCCAACCUUCACCUGACUCUUAAACUCAAACUCGUAAGGGUUUACGAGUUAACCUUAGAGUUUGAUAAUUUGAUUAUUACCAUACAAAGUAACUUUCUUAAAAGGGAUUUAUGGCAACCAAAACAGGCCCAGCUUUCAUCUGAAUUAAAUAGUUAUGCACUUAAAGAGGUUAUGAUUAGGAAAAUAAAUCAAGAUAGAAAAUUAAGAGAUAUAAGCUUACAUAGAUCAUAUCUUGGUUGUAUCUAUAUUGCAGGUUGAAUAAAACUGCUGAUUCAUUUAAAUAACUAAAUAGAAGGUACCAUGAUAAACUGAUUUCAAAACACAGCAGCAGAGAAAAAUUGAAAUCCAAGGCCAAAAUUAUCUUUUUUGAACCAUAAGAAUUUGUAUCAUUCCACCUGUUUUCCCUAGAGGAUGUCAAAAUUGAUGGCAGGGGCAACGUAACGGAUACCAAGUCUUCAUCUGCAUUAGAUGGUCGGUCUUUUAAUGAUCAACCAAUUUAUUUUAAAUUCUAAGUGUACUUUCUUUUUGGUUUGAGGUUUAAACUAAAAAAAUAAAAACUUUGAAAUGUACUGAUGAAAAAUGCCACAAUAUUUACAAUACAAUAAUAUGAAACUAAUCUAAUCAUUUUAAUAUUAUCACUAAUUUAUAAAAGUAAAAAUUUAUGUUGGACUCCCACAACUUUUGUAACAUGGAUCAAGCAUCAUGAACCAGGUGCACACGAAAUAACUCAGUUCUAGAAGGAUUAUAAAGCCCUUAACCAAGAGAGGCUAGAAAGAUUAAAAAGAUACACCUCAUUGAGGAAAGAAGUGUUCACAACAAAGAGGAAAAAAAAGCAAUUUGUCAAAUACUUUAACAACCCAAGAUUAAUUUUCAGAGUAAACAAAAUUUUGGUUUAACUACAAUAUUAGUGUCAUUAACAAAGUGCACAAGAAAUUACAUACCUCACUGAGUACUAACACUACAAAGAGAAGAAAGCACAGUAAAUAAAAUUAUAAAGUUAGCCCUUCCACUCUACAGGUUCCAUGCAUUUGGUUUUGCAGAGGCAAGCAGAGGUAUUGAUCCCAAUCCCACAUAUUUGGAUUCUAGUUUCUACUAAUUAAAGCAUGCCUUGUCUGACAAAAAGUCUUUCCAAAGUUCCAAAAGCAUUUGUCUCAAUAAAGGGAAAACAACUAAACUAGUUGUAGGUGCGUACUAAACCUUUUGAUGCUCCAAAUACCAUUAUAUUAUACUACACAAAUCACAAUAUCUCCAAGUUCUAAAUAAAUAAAUAAAAACCACAUUAACAAUACCAUUGAAAUGUAAUCAGAUACACAAAAAUCUACACAAUUAGGUAGUUAGCACGAUGUCAAAGUUUCAAUAAACUUUGAAUUUUUGUUUGAGCUUGCAAGCCUAAGGCCUAACUAAACCAACAACACUGACCAUAUACCGUGCAUAAAGAUAUUCACAAGUUAAUGAAACUUGAUCAAACUAGACAAAUAAAACGAAGACCUCAAAUUAAUAUCCCCAUAUUAAUUAUGCAGUUGCUUAUUAUUUUACUAGAAUUACCUUCAAAACUAACAGCCACACAACUUACAACAGAGUACCUUUUAUGUGUAAUAAUCUAGGAUUUUAAGAUGGGAAGAUACAUUGAGUAAAGUUGUGAAGUUUCGAUGAGCAAACACAAAAAUAAAAGACAAAGAGCGAGAAUGAAACACGAAUUGAAACUUACUAUGAUAAGCUUAAAGAGGUUAGUCUCAUUCGAAACAGAGAAACGUCAUUGUUGCGGGUGCGUUACCGUCUCAAGGUGCGUUGUCGUUGUAGGGUGUGGUUUCCGGUUGUUGAGUGCUAAGAGUGAGAGAUGAGAAAAAAAGUUAAAGAAAACAGAUAAACUUUGAAAUUCAAAACCUUACAUACCAAUUGGUUAAAUUUAAAAAAAUUAAAUAAUUUUUUGAAAAAUAUGCAUCUUUAUUUAAAUUUAUUUAUUAAAAUUUUAAUUUAAAUAAUAUUUUGAAUUAAUCAUUAAUUUAAUUUUAUAUUUAAAUAAAAUUAAAAGAUUAAAAUACUAUUUUAAAUGUAAUUUUUAAAUUUAUAUUAAUUAUUUUAAUAUUAUACUAAAAUUAUUAAAUUAUUAAAUUUAUUCAUAUCAAUUUAAAAUAUUUUAUAAAUUAAUAAUUAAUUUUAUAAAAUUUAAUUACUUCAAAAUUAAUAUUUAAAUUCAAAUAAUAGUGACUAGAAAUUUAAGUAUCUCAUUAUAAUUAUAUAAUGAUUAGAAACUACAAAAUUAGUUUUAAAUUUUAUUAUUUUUAGUGACUAAAAUUAGUUUUUAAAAUAGAUUAAAAUUAAUUAAAAUAGUUUCCAAUUAUAUCUUAACAAGAUUCUCUCUCUCUCUAUCUCUCUAUCUCUAUCUCUCUCUCUCUAAUAAAUUGAAACAUAGAUGAAUAGAAUCUUACACGGACUACUUCUUAUGCGGGACAGGAUGGUCAAAUGAACUUGCAUUUCUUAUAUAGGUUGGACCAACCUGACCUGCGUUUUGCGAGUCAAACAUGGGAGGGACCAACCGACAUUGCCACCUAAUUUGACAUGAAAUAUUUGUUUUGCCCUUAAUGAUUUAAAAGACUUUGUCUUCUGGAUUUUCAUAUACGUAAGUUAAAUUACAAAGUUCUGGAUAUGCAAGUUCGAAACUAAUAUGUCACUUUCGGAUUUAGUCAUCCAGAAGCUUACCUGACCAACAUAAAUGACCUUCUGGAUGCCAUGAUCCAUAAGCAAACAUAAAUGAACUCGAGAUUCUAAUAUUUAACAUCAUUUAUAGCACACCAUUUCGAACAUAAAAAUCUGAAACUCAUAACUCACUUCCGGAUAUGAUCAUCCAAAAACUUAAAUGAAAUAUAAAAAUGAUCUUCUGAAUAUCGAAGUCCGGAGUAUAUAACAACCACAUUCAAAUUUUUGCAUCUAUAACUAAAUAUGAAGCCUUCCGAAUAUCACGAUUCGGUAACAACUUAACCCCAUUAUCAACUAAAACACAAAACGUAAAUAAUUUUCCUUACCUCAUAAAAGAUUUACACCACACCACGCUUAAAAGUAAUGACUUCAUUCCACCACCACACCAACCCAAUUCACCACCACUCAAAACGGUUCAGCAUUUAAAUCACAAAGCUUCACUUUUUUCUGUGAUGAACUAUGAUGGGAGCAACAGCAUUAAAACUGCAGAAGCAAUGCAUAGCUAUUUAAAGUCUGAAACCCCUACUUUCCAAUUUAUUUCAGUUCUUACUCUUUUAAAAUUUCUCUAAUCAAAUUUCAAAUAGUGCUUUUACCAUGCUCUUUGAAAUAUACAAAUAGUUUAUACAAUUAUACUAUUCAUUCCACUGGCUGCCUCAGAAAAGAAAUUGCACUGCUACAUAAAUAAUUACUUUAUGCCACUCAUUCCUAAAGCUAACUAUGACAGACAAAAUAUGCAAAAAGGAGUUACUUUCAUCUAUCAAAGUUGUGUGCUAUUAUUUUAUUUGACUAUUGAAAAUCUCACCUGUGAUGGUCUCUUUCUCACCCUCUAAUCUAUCAAAAAUCCAUUUAAUGGAGCCUAAUUUAGAAGAUUAAGUGCUUAUGUAGCCUAUUAAAUGCCUCUUAAGCAUCCACACGGCAAAGCUACCUAAGCAGUAAAGCACAUUAGCAGAAAGGCUACUUUAGUGACGUACAGAUUUUUGAAGGACUUGGGUAAUGAUAGUAAGUAUUUUUAGGAUUGAAGCAAAGUCAAAUUAAUAUUUUUUAGGUACCAAAGUGAUAACAUGUGGGUUUUGGCUUGAAUGUUUAUGGGCAAAAGUGAUUCAUUGUGGUACAUGGUGAUGAAAGUGAUGGCUAUGGCUUGGACCCGACCCGCUCUAGUCAAGUUCCAUUUUUUUUCAGUCAAGUCCGUUAGUAGAACCAGUGUAAAGCACUAUGUUCAAUUUAUUGGAACCCAUCAAAUAUAAAUUCUUGUGUGAUUGCCAUGCUCAGAGACCUUCAAACAACAUUACAGAAGAAACAAGAAAAACUAGCAAGCCUAGACAAAAGGAUUGAGGUUAAAAUUAAUGCAAGCAAUCAAAUACCUUCGUUCACAUCUCCGUUCGCCUUUGCUCGCACCUUCGUUCUCCUUCGCUCGCACCUCCGUUCGCCUCCGCUCACACCUCUGUUCGCCUUUGUUCGUACUUCCGUUCGCACCACGACCACCACCCACAACUUCCUCCUCCUCCUCCGACCACCGCCUGCAGCUUCCUCUGCACCUUUGUUCACACCACGUCCAUUUUUGGGUAUUUGGUGUCCUAAAAGCACCUACAACUUCCAAAUAACUCUGAAGCUUACAAAAAAUCAAAUUCCAAGUUUUAUCUAAUUGUCACAUUCUUUUUUUACUGAAGUCACCUCUUUAUAAAUAAUAUUAAAAAAUAUAGUAUUUAUGUAAAAUUAAGAAAUAAAUAUUAAAGGAGUAUUUAAAUAUCAAUGAUAAUAAAUAUAAAUAUUUUAAUUAAUUAAUAAUUUUCAUACUAAUACAUUUUAUAAUUUCUAACUAGCAGAUACUUACCUCUAUUAAUAAUUUUUAAUUGAAAAAAAUAGAAACAAGUAAUAAAACUGUUAUAAUAAAAAAAUUAAUAAUUAAAAAAUUAUUUACAAUUUAAUUCUGAAAAUUUAUUUAUUUUUAUAAAAUUAAAGUUGUUUUAAAAAGAUCAUUUUAUUUAAAUUUAAUUAUUUAGCAUAAUUUAUUUUUUUUAAAGGAUUAAUUUUAUUAACAAUAAUUAUUUUUUUUAUGUAAUUUUAUUUAAAAAAAUUAUUUGAGGUGAUAUUUUAAAAAAAUAUUUAAUAAAUUUUAUCUAAAUUUAAUAAAUUACAAAUAUAUUUGACACAUAUUUUUUAAAUAAAAAAAAUCAGUAAUACAAUUAAUUAUUUUUUAAAUGGAUGAGUACUCAUUAAUAUUCAAAGUGCUUGUAUAGUUUUUUAAAAUAAAAAUAAAUUAUUAUUAUCAUUAAUAGUAGUUGUAAAAUAAACAAGAUUUAGCGACUAAAAAAUUUCGAUGGCUAAAAAAUAAACGUGUUUAGUGGCUGAUUCAGUGAUAAAAAUAAAUAAUUAUAUCUAGUGACCGAAACAAAAUCGGUAGCUAAAACAUAAACAAAUUUGAUGGCUGGUUCGGUAGUAAAAAUAAACAUUUAUAUUCAGCGACCAAAAGAAAAUCGGUAGCUAAAAAGUAAAUAUAUUCAGUGCCUAAUUUGGUGGCAGAAAAAAAAUAAUAAAAUUUAGUGACCAAAAUAAAAUUGGUGGCUAAAAAAUAAACAUAUUCGGUCGCUAAUUCGGUUGCAAAUAUAUUUUUUCCAAUUUAUUCGAAACAAUCACCACUUUAACGACCAACGGUUUUGUCACUUUCAUGUUCGGUCACGGAUUCAUUCGCAAAACUAACUAACAUGAUUUUUCAUGUUCGGUCGCGAAUUCAUUCGCAAAACUAACUAACAUUAUUUUUUAUGUUCGGUCGCGAAUUCAUUCGCAAAACUAAACUAACUAGCAUGAUUAAUAAUUCAGUUAGUCGCCAUUUCGAAUUCGUUCGCAAAACUAACUAACAUGAUUAAUCAGUCGCUAUUUCGAUCACAAAUUUGUAAGUUAUUUCGAUCGCAAAUUCGACACUAUAUUGUUCGCUAAAUUCAGUAACUACAGUAUAAAAAAAACACUCUUCUCCAAAAAAUAAUUCAAAACAAAGAAGAUAGGACAAUGUCAAGAAUUCUCCAAAAAAUAAUUCAACACAAAGAAGAUAGGACAAUGUCAAGAAGAUAGGACAAUGUUGGACAAUAUCUUAAAUGAUAUGAUGAAGGGAGAAACACCCCUAAUUUUUUAGUAUCAGAUUUAGCGUUUUACUAUUGUUAUUAAGUUUUAUGCAAAAAAAAAUUUAAUCAAAAUAACAUAACUAAAUCUUUCAUAAAUAUUUUACCAUUUAAAAAAAAAAACAAUUUUUUGAAACUGAUGAAGUCAUACAUACUAAAUACAAUUUUAAUACAAUCUGAUAGUACAAAUAUAAUUCUGAAGUUGUAAUGAUUUCAAUACGAUAUAAUAUCACUAUCACUGAAGUUAUAAUGUCAAAAUACAAAUUCAAUUAUAGAAAUCUUUUUAAAAAAAUUGUUUUUAUAUUAUACGAAUUUAAUUAUUUCCUAAUUAAAAUCACAUUUUACAACUAUAAUUUCUUUAGAAAUUAUUAUCUACAUAAAACUCGUAUUUGACACAUACGAGGAUUUAUCCAAUUUUAAAACAAGAAACUAAUCUGUCCAUUUAGAAAAAUUUGGACUAAAAUUACACUAAUUUUUGGAGAAAGAAACCGACUAAGUAUUAUAAAUAAAACUGCCACAUAAAAACAUGACUUAUAGCAUUUUAGGACACCAAUUUAAAGUCUCCAACUGAACAUUAAGUUUCAAACUAUUACACUUUUAUUUAAGUUUAGAAAACAUUUGUUGUCUAAAGACUUUUGGGUUUAUAUUGCAACAUCACUCAUAAUUGGAUAAAAGUACAUUUAUUCUUGAGAAGCAGAAGCAGGUGCAGUGCAGAGAUGGAUGAUACUAAAUGCAUCAUCCAUGAACUUCAUUCUGGAACUAAACUGGAGGUGGGUAGAGUUCAAUAACCUUCUUCCAUGAUGGUCUACUGCUUAUGUCAUCCCACCAACCACUCACAUGCUUCCUCUCUUUUAUCAGAUACCCUUUAUUCAUUUGGUUCACUAUAAAAUAUGUAAAUGGAAGAUGACUUAUAUCAGCAAGACUGAAGAAAUCCCCACCCAAAUACUUGCUCUUUGACAGCCUCUCCUCAUAAACAUCCAACACCUUCAACAGCUUUGCUUCACUCUCCUCAAUCACCUUUGGAUCUGGAGUCAUGCCAAAUAUUGGAGCAAACAACAGAUGCACAGCCAAGUCAUAGGCUGGUGGGUGAAAGUUAUGUGCUUCAACUUCUAGCCAUUGUUCCACAACACCCCUCUCUUCUGCUGUCCUCCCCACCAGCUCAACCCCCUGAGAUCUGUAUUUGUCUGCAUAAAACCUCAUUAUAGCACGAGAUUCUGCAGAAACAGAUCAAACACAGACAACUUAAAAGGUGGUAGCAGUAAGAUAAGAAAAAAUAACUGAAGAAACAAAAUAUGAACAAAAAGGCAAAAGUAUAUAGAAGUUGAAAGUGUAACCAUAUAAGGUGUAGUCUCCAUCUUGGAUGACAGGAACAACUCCAAAGGGCUGCAGAUAUGAUAAAUAAAGAAGAUGAAUGAGAAGAUAAAGAAAGACGUAAUCUUGAAGAGUGAUGAGUCUGAGGAAAAAAAGAAAAUUGAACCUGUAACUUGAGAAACUCGGGAGCCUUGUGCUCUCCCUUAGUGAGAUCAACUGGGACAACCUCAAAUUCGACCUCCUUCUCAAGGAGACAUACCAGCACCCUUUUAGUGGAAGCACAGUGAGGACCGUACACCUUCACUACCAUGUUUUGAUUCUCUUCAGAAACCCUUCAACAAGAGUGAAGUGAAAGAGCCAAACACAAUUUCUACUUCCUAGCAACACUUCUUAUAGUUGUAAAUGGAUUUGGAAUGGAUAGGAUAGAAUCAAACUCUUUACUUACUAAUAGAAGAUUUGGGGUUGCUAGAGUUUGUUUUUUCUAAAUAUACUUUGACAAGUGUAAAAAUUGCUUUAUUUGUGGGUUCAGAUUUCAGAAAAAAAAAAUUUCUUUUCUCAAUUGUAACUUGGUGUAGGACUUUCAAUAUAUCAUCACUUAGUUGAGCAGUGAUAUGUUCACACUUUCUACUGACACACUCUCAUUUAACACUUAAUAAUUUUUCAAAAGUUUACAUUAUAUUUACCAAAACUUAUUGGAUACUCACUUUUAAAAACUCUCAAUCAACACUGCUCUUUUAACAAAUAUAUGAUAAAUGAGUUUGAUGUGGUAAAUGGUACUUUGAUAAACAUGAUGUAAACUUUGAAAAAUUACUUAUUAAUAGCAAAUUGUUUCGUAUAAGAAAAUAUAAUCUUUUAAUAAAAUAAAAUGUGAGUCUAUUUGAAAAGAUAAAGAAAUGUUUAAAUGAUUACAAACAGAUGCAUUUAAUGAUGUGGGCAUCCAAAGUAACAUUUUUUUAUUUUUUAUUAAAUUCAUUUUAACUCUUCCCAGGUCAUGUUAGGUUGAAUCUGUAUUGAUUGGGGUACAGCUGGUUUAAAAAAAAAUAUAGGUGUUGAUGGGGGGAUCUGUUGUGCCGUGUUUGGAGAAACAGGAGAUAAUUUAUUAUAUUUAUUUAUGUAAUUUAAAUGAAAGCAUGUUGUGCAGGGUCAAAAGUUGGCAAUAGAAUAAUAAAGUGAUUCCAGAAAUGGAGGGUGGUGGAAGAAUCACUUCUUAAUUUUUAAUUGAUUCAAGAUCUUCAAUCUCACUGGGGUAAAUCCUUAAUAUAUUUUGCUAUUUUAUUAGAAAAUAAUAUUUAAACUUAAUAAAAUGAAAUUUACAUUUAUUGGGUUGAUAAAGAUUAUGAUGUCCUUUUCCAUUUAGAAGUUCUCUUCCGUCUUGGUUUUGGGAAAAUCACUUACUUGCCGUCUUCAAUAACAAUGGCAGUUUAGCAAUCCAUGAUUACCACUCUUGCUUCCUCUAUUUCAAGAUUUUCCCAUUAUAAUGUUAUUUCAAGAUUUUGUUUCUUAUAUAAAUUAUGGAAAAAAAAAAUAACUAAGCUAUCUCAUUUAAAAAUGAAAUUAUAUUUUUCAUUGGGAAGUUUACUCACAUGUGAAAUAAAUAAAGUUACACUUUUUAAGGAUGGAUAUUCAAAAUAUUUUUUAUUUUAUUUCAUUAAAUUUUUUGAAAAACCAAGAUGUAUUUAUUAUAGGUUAGAAAUGAAAAAAAAUUAUAAGUACAUUGACACUUCUGAUCUGUUAACUUGGAAGAAAUAGAAAUGUAUAGAAUUUUUCAAAGAUUGGAUCAAAGUCCAAAGACUUUUAUUAUUUCUCAAUCACAUCAGCAAACAUCAGAAGAGGUCACCUUACUCACGCACCUGUCACUCUCAAUAGAAACUGACGAAAAGGUACAACCAAAUGUACCCAGACAAGAUCAAAUUCUUCCACCUUCCACCACCUCCAUUCCUUCCGUAUACUGAAAUUAUAACUUCAUCAUUUUUAUUUACACUCCUAUUUCUUGAAUCUGAAAUAUAUAAUACAAUUUUAUAUUCUAAAUUUUAAAAUUUAGAAGAUAUCUUUUGAAUUUGAAAAUAUAUUUUAAACUUUAAAAUUUGAACUUGGAAUAUAAAAUUGUAUUUUGAAUUUUACAAGGUCUAUAUUAUACAAUUUAAAAAUCAAUAAAAAAACAAAACAUAUACCUUUUGUCAAAGCAUAAUUUUGGAAUUAAAAUAUUUAUGAAUAAUUUUGAAAUUAAAAUAUUUAUGGAGGUGUAAGAAGAAACGGAGUGAAAGAAGAAAUUGUCAUUAAAGGGUAGGCAAUUGCUUCCUGCACCCAAUCAAUUUUGACUCGCAUCCAACGAAAAUUUUAAAACUCCAAUCUGUCCUUUUCACACAUUUGUUUACAAAUUUUAAUUUUUGGAAGACAUUUUUAUACAUUCUAGAUUUCGAAAUCCGAAAGGUUAUUUUCAUAUUUCAUUUAAGCUUCUAGAUGAUCAUAUCCAAAAGUGAGUUAUGAGUUCCAAAUUUUCAUAUCUAAAAUGGUAUGCUAUAAAUGGUGUUGAGAACUGAAAUUCGAAACUCAUUUAUGUUUGCUUACAGAUCUUGAGAUCCAGAUCAUUUAUAUUGUUCAAAUAAGUUUUCGGAUGGUGAAAUCCGGAAGUAACAUUAGUUCUACAUUUGUAGAUCCAGAACUUUGUAAUUUAACUUGUGGAUAUAAAUAUUCAGACAAAAAUUUAAAAUCAUUAAAGAUAAAAUGAACAUUUCACGUGAGUCUGAAUUGAUAUGAUACAGGAAGAAUCAGCCUAGAGGGUAUGUGCAGUAAUUGGCCCAACCCAGAAUGGCCUAAAGAAAAACACAAAACGCAACCGGAAGGAAAGAAAACACAACCUGAGAUACGAAUGUACUUCAUUAAAAGCUAAAAAUGUGAAGUAAUAUAAAAAAAAAUGAACAUUGCAAUAAAAUAACUUAUUCAGUCAAUAAAUCUGUGACUUUUUUAAAAAUAUACAGACACCUUAUCGCCAAAAAUCAACGGCAGCAUUUCUAAUCUACAACUAACAAGUAUCAUAAGAAAUCCUGAAAAUGUUAUUAAAAGAAGCCUCCUACCGUUCUCAUUCAAACAUUUCAGUAGUUUUCUCACCUUCCUCCUGAGAAUGAAGUAUUUGUUAGUGCUUACGCAGGCAUGAGAUGAGACUAUUGUCACAGACAGAUAGAUACUUCUACGCUACUGCAAAUUUGUAUAAUAAACAGCGUAUACAAACCAAUUAGCAUACUAAAUGGUGUUUAUUAUUAGUAAUUGGUUUCCAGAAUAUUGAAUUAAUUCCCUAUGAAGAGAUUACGAUGGGAUGAGACGGACAUAUACAGAUACCAAAAUGACACCACAUAAAACAUGAGUUUUGACUAUAGCUGCUGUGAUGAUGCAGUAUCAUUUUCUUCAAUGUCAUCAAAUUCCACCGGUUUCCCACGAACAAGCUUCCUGUAAAUCAAAUAAAAAAUUAGGACAUUUACACAUACAUAUUUUAAGAAUUAACGAGUUAAAAAUAUAAACAGAAUACUGCUAUUUCAAAAUAAAAACAACAAAUUCCUAAUCAGAAUGAAACAACUAAUUGAUUAAAACACAGUGAAGUAGUGGCAACAAAGACAUGCCAAACAAAUGGCUAUUCUAAUUCAAUCAUUAGGAAUGAAUUUUUAUCCUUCAACUCGAGUGAAAUUUCUAUGGUCAACAAAAAUGAACCAUUACUAAGGAAUGCAUCUAGCAUGCCCUUGAUGAAAUUGUCACUCUUCUUGUCAUGUGGUUCACAAAAAUUUUACAAGUUUAAAGAUUCUCCCUUCUUUUGGUCCUUUAACCUUUUUAACUGGUAAGCAGAUUACAAUCAAUUGUUAAGUAGAGAAACCUUUUUGAUAUAAAAUUCUCAGACAGUGCCUUAUCCAGCCUCUCUUCAAACGGGGUUGCGUGCCAUUUUACUUUCUGGUCCUGUGGACAAUUAGAUAAAGUGCAGUGAUCAGAUGGAGUAUACAGAUUUAAAAACCAUAUAACACCAAAUAAUGACUGCAAGACAUACCUCCUUGUACUUAGUUGUUGAAUUCGGGAUGCCAUUGCCAUACCACCACUUAAGAGAAAUGGGGGAAUUCUCCUCAAUGACUGAUAGAGGAGUUAAUCUAGAAGACAAAAUUGAUUUCUCCUCAUUUUCAUAUCCAUUUGAAAUUUUCUUCAACCCUUCUUCUGGGGUAGGAGUUCCAUUUUGAGAUUGGUCAACCAAAUCACUCAGCUCACUUGAAUCUUCUUCAGGGUUAGAAUCUCCGUCCUCUAGUAUUUUGCACCGGAAGAUAUUAUCACUUGGGUUGUUUGUUGGAUAGACAAACUGGCAACGAACCUGAGCCUUACCACUCUGUAACUGUUCUAAUGAUGCAGGAUACACAGUUCCUGGUGUUUGCAUCUCAUCAAAUAACUUCAACGGGGUAGGAUAAGGAGAUUGUCUAUAUGCACUUUGGUGGUUAUUUGGUGAUUUGUUUUCCUUCGUAUGCCAAUCGUCUGAUGAGCUUCCAUAGGAUGCCAAGUCAGUUUCGUUUUCAAAACGAACAGACUUGUUCUUUCUCUGAGUAUUGGCGGGUAGCAAAGGUGAAACUAAAGCUGCAUUCCUUUCGGACCUAUCUUCCCUAUGAAGAAUCCCUGCAUAACUUUUUUCUAUGCAGUCAACAGAGUCAUCCUGAGUAUCUUGUGCUUUGGAGAUGCAACUGCAAAAGAAAUGAAAUGAAACUAACAUCUGAUCAGGUUCUAGUUCUCCCUCCCACUAUUUUACACUAUCAGUGGACAAUUCUAACUUCCAACCAAAACAUCAUUUGAAAUACAACCAUUUGAAGGACAUUUCUCUUAAAAACACAACAAAUGAUCUGAUUCUUUAUUCGAUACAGUUUCUCUACCAUGAGCUCUAACUGUUAGGAAUGUUGUAUCCACCGCUUACUAUAAUAAAAAUUAAGUAAAAAACAGAAGAUUCACCUGCCAUGCAUCAAAUAUCACUUGUUCAAUUUCAAUAUCAGCAUAAGAAAAAAAUUCAAAAUCACGAAUAACCUGCUUGGCGUGUGCUCAAAUGAAUCCAUACUAUUUCCCCACUUUUGACAAAGUUUUAUGGGAGUUGGUUGAUCAAAUGGUUGGACAUCUGGUUGCAGUUUUUCCACAGACGUGUUAGGAAACCAAGUAUGAAAUCUUGAAGGGUCAUCGGGAGAUGGUGAUGUUUUCAAUUUCUCAGAUGCUUUACAAAUUUCAAUAGGAGUUCCUGUUAAGGUCCCACAAGCUUUAAGAAACUUAGCCUGUAGUUUAAGUAAUGAGACAAUCAAAAUUCAAUUGACAAGAUCGAAUGUGAGAAGAAAAAAUAAUAAACAAAUUGUAAAAGAAACUAAGUACUAUUUAAAAUUUGAUAUAUACCAUGGUUCGCAUAUACAGUUUUAGAAAUUGAAUACAAAAAAGUUAUAACAUGAAUACGCUGUAGAUGAUACAGAGAGCAAUGGAUAUGACUGACUUUUAACAAGCCAGAUUGAAAAAAUACUAAUGGUUCUAAUUGUUUCCACCAUUCUUACACAAAGAGGUUUAUAAAAUCACCUUUUGUUCUUCACAUUUUGCUUGUAUACUACAUUCAAGAAGCUUCUUAUGUCAGUUUGCAGAUUCAUUUUAUCCAGCUUGACGCGAACUCAAAAGAUAAACUAUUAAUCUUAUUUUACUCAAUGCCCUAACUUGCUCAAACAAAAAAUUAUAACAACCAAAAACAACCAGAUAAAAAAUCAUUUCAGACCAAUAUUAAUAGCACAAUAAAAAUACCUCGUCCUUAAGGUCCUGGAAAUCUCCCUGAAACCCCACCCCAUCAAUCCGUGCAGAAUCAUCUCUCUCUGCUAAAAAAUGUUAGAAGACGGAAUUAGUGAAACUACUAAAAAGAGAACAGAAAACAUAAAAGUAGAAAGAAAGAAAGAAAACGAAAAGCACCUUCAAAUAACAAAGAAGACGAACUAUUCCGAGAUAUCACAACUCCCUGAUUUAAACACAGAAAAAAUCCUAAUUAUUACAAACAAACAAAAAGUAAUUAAAAGAGAGAGAGAUGCGAAAUGUGAAAUUUUACGUUGGAACGAUUGGAUGUGGGAAUCAGUUGCGGUGUGGGCGUAGGGCGAGCGUCUCUGAUCCGGAAGCAGGCGAAGAAACAGCCCAUUACUUUGUUGAAGGAUCGGAAGAAGAAACGGAUAAUGAAGCAGAACACUCUCCUCAGCAUGUCAUGCAAAUUCUGACACCCUAAUUUCGAAUUCAGUUCAAAAUCGAAAGGGCGUGAACGGUGCGUGUUGCGCAGAGACUGCAAUUUGAAUUUUGAAGUGGCUCAAAAGCGAGGGAAAUUAAAUUAGUUAAUUAUUUAAUUAUUAGGAUAAAAAUUGUUAACUCAAUAAUCAUUUAUGAGAAUAAAUUUUUUUAUAACUGUUCUCUUAUUCUACUCUUACAUUAGACCGUUUUACCAUACUUGUACCAAUAUAUAAACAAAUAAUUGUUUUUAAUUUCUACUCUUUAAUUAUAAAACGUUUUAUAUUUGACCAGUAUAAAAUAAAUAGCUUUUACAAUUUUAUUAUAGAAGUUUUGUAUUUUAAAUAGUUAAUUGAAUUUAAAAAAUAGUUACAAAAUUGAAAUGGAAAAAUAAUAAAACAAAUUAUACUGAUAAAAGUUAAAUGGGUAAGGAAUCCAAUUUUUUUAAUAUCUUUAAAAAUUUGUUGUGUUUUAUAGAUAUUACAUUAUAAAUUUAUUAUAAUUGUAAAUUUAUUGGAAUUAAUAUAUAAGAUAAAUUUAUGUUACAAUUUUUAAAACAUAUUAAUGUACAUAUAUGUUCUAAAAAAGAAAACAUUAAUUUAAAUUAUCAUUAUUUUGUAAGUGAGAGAUAAAACAAAAAAUUAGUCUUUAGGAUAACAUUGUUAAUAAAUUUAUUUAUUAAAUUAUAACAAUAAUUGAGUAUAAAACAUAAUUUAUGUUUUAGUAGCCUUCUUACUUAUUUUUAUGUCAUUCAUAAUAUUUGAAGUUUUAAAAACUUUAUAAAAACUAAUGAAAUGUAUUUAGACAUGUACUGGUAAGCUAAAACCGAGAGGUUCAGGCCGAGAACUACAUAUUGAACAACCAAGAGGUGUUAGACUAAAAUCGAGAGGUUUAGACCGAAAGCGAAAAAGACAUACAUAAAAGAAUAAAACAAAAUAUAAAUAUUAUUAUAAAAAUAAAAGUCCAAUUAAGAUAAAACUUACAUGAGGGGUGUGAAAAUAAUAAAAAGGUGUAGAAAGAAAGCCCAAAAGUAAAGGGGAAAGCCCAUUAAAGAAACCCUAUAAAUAGGAGUUCAGAGUAAGAAAAAGGUAAGAGUGAUUUUAUCUGAUGAACAUUAAACUAUUUCUGACUUUGGCAUCGGAGCGACUUGCAGGUACCCCCCUGCCGUGAGGAGAAGCCGAGAGCACUUGCUGUGAGGAGAAGCCGAGAGCCCUUGCCGUGAGGAGAAGCCGAGAGCACUUGUUGUGAGGAGAAGCCGAGAGCCCUUGCCGUAAGGAGAAGCCGAGAACAUCUGUCGUGAAGAGAAACCGAGUGUCCAGCCCAAGAUUGAAGGAUUUGCAUAAAGAAUUAAUCUUGUUAAUCCAUUUCGAGUGUUCUUGGUCCCUGUUGUAAGAACAUUUUGGCGGUCACCGUGGGGCCGAGAAGUAGUUGAAAAGGGUUAAAGACAAGAUGGACCAAAUAGAAGAACAAGGUGGAGAACAGGAAGACAAUGUUAACAUGCCAAUGGCAAUGUUGGUACAACUACAAAAAGAAUUCGAGAUGUUAAAAAAGAAUAAUGAAGAAGAACUAAGCAUGUUGAGAGCCGAAAAUGCACAUAUGAGGAGAAAACUGCAGGAAGAGACAGUUCUGAAUUCGUCCUUUGAAACUGUUCAACCUAAAGCACAAAUGAAUGAAAGACUUCAUCACAACGAAAGUUCCCAAACCAAAAGAAGAUUGCUUGAUACCUCUGGGGUUUUUUCAGGAGCAUCCUCCAUAAAGCAUCCGUUUUAUGAUGUUAUAGUUGAUACUCCAUUACCUGACAAUUGGAAAAAUUUGACAAUUGGAAAAAUUUGACAAUUGACAAAUACGAUGGAAGUACAGACCCUGAUGAACACAUUGCAAUAUAUACCACUCAGAUAAGCUUGUAUACGUGGAAUGAUGCUAUUAUGUGUAGAGUGUUCCCUACGACGCUGAAAGGAGCAGCUUUGAGUUGGUUCACGCGCCUCCCACCUUUGAGCAUUGAUUGUUUCGAUACACUGGUAGGAAAGUUCGGUGCUCAAUUUGCAACCAGUCGCCCUCAUCAUUUAACAUCAAUUGCUUUGGUGAACAUAAGACAAGAGAAAUGAGAGUCAUUAAGAAUGUUCAUGGAACGCUUUGGAAAGGUUGCCUUAGGUAUUCGAGAUCUUAGCCCAGAGGUUACCAUGCAUCAUAUGAUAAUAGCAUUGAAGCUGGGACCAUUCGCCGAUAGCCUCUGCAAAAAACCUGCAACCAAUUUGGAUGAACUAAGGCAGCGAGCCUCAAAAUUUAUGCAGAUGGAAGAACUGAGAGAGUUCCGAAACCAAGUGAGGGUUGAUGGAGGUGAGAAGAGGGUGAUGGAAAGAGAAAGCGGACCUAUGGUCAGAAGAGCCCGAGAAGAGUUCAGAAGUCGAAAAUUCCAACAAUAUACACCUUUGAAUACAAAUAGAGCAAGAAUUUUGCAAGAAGCCAUGGCAGCAGAAAUAAUACCACCACCAAGAAAAGCAAGAACACCAGAAAGGGUAGAUCAUACCAAGCGGUGUGAGUAUCAUAAAAAUCAUGGCCAUCAUACAGAAGAGUGCAUCGGGUUGAAAGAUAGAAUAGAAGAAUUGAUCCAAGCGGGACAGUUGAAACGCUUCAUUCAAGGAGGAAAUACGAAAACAAGAUUAAGUCCUGAAAAAGUGUUGAAAGGGAGAGAGGUAGGACAAAGAAGAGUGGAAGGAUUUGAAAGAAGAGAAGAUAGAAGAGUUGAAAAAAGAGAUGAUAGGAGGGAGGGAAGGCCAGAACGAAGAUGUGAUAGGUUUUAUCAAAACACCCAGUCGGUUAGGCGAAGUAGGGAACGAAGUCUGGGAAGGCCGGUCAGAGGAUUUAUAAAUACAAUUUCAGGUGGUUUCUCUGGCAAAGAAUCUUCAUCGGGAAGAAAACAACAUUGGAGAAGUAUCAGAACCAUUAAUCACAUUUUUAAAAAAAGAACUUUGCCACCGAUGCUUUUCACAGAUGAAGACUUUCAAGAAAUCGAUCCCGAUCAUGAUGAUCCUAUGGUGAUAACAGUAGAAAUAGCCGAGUAUGCUGUCAUGAAAACCUUGGUUGAUCAGGGGAGCUCAGUUGAUUUUUGUUUUGGGAUACUUUCAAAAGGUUGCACUUGAGAGAAGAAAAUAUUGUACCUUUCCGAGAACAAAUUAUUGGCUUCUCGGGUGAAAGAGUUAGCACUAAAGGAUAUGUUGAUUUAAUGACAACAUUCGGCAGAGGCAGUAAAACUAAAAAGAUCAAAAUCAGGUACUUGGUGGUGGACGCUUCCACAUCAUACAAUGUGUUGCUAGGGCGAUCUUCUUUGAAUAAGUUGGGAGCAAUAGUUUCAACACCGCAUUUAGCCAUGAAAUUCCCAACAGAGAAGGGGGAGAUAGCCACGAUAUAUGUCAAUCAAAAAGAUACUCGGGAAUGUUACGCAACAGGCUUAAAGAUGAAUUUGAAAACAAAUAGAGAUACUGAAAGAAUGGUGGCGAUGGCAGAUUUGGACCCCAGGUUAAAUGAUGAGAGGUUAGAACCAAAAGAAGAGACAACAGUUGUAGUAUUGGGACGGGACGAGAAGCAAUGCACUUACAUAAGUGGAAGUUUGCCCAAAGAAUUGUUAAACAAACUUAUCACAUUGUUACGCAACAACAAAGACUUGUUUGCUUGGAAACCAUCUUAUAUACCUGGAAUCGAUCCAGAGGUAAUUUGUCACAAAUUGUCGGUAUGUCGAGAAGCGAAACCGAUAUCUCAAAAACGAAGAAAGUUGGGUGAAGAA
RNAcentral lists this long non-coding RNA (63951 nucleotides) under Phaseolus vulgaris (common bean). RNAcentral's name for it is "long non-coding RNA (PVUL_LNC001828)". Lineage: Eukaryota; Viridiplantae; Streptophyta; Magnoliopsida; Fabales; Fabaceae. The record is from RNAcentral.